GGACGCCCGAGGGGCUCCGGGCGGUGGCGCGCAGGGCCCGGGCGGCCGGCGGCGGCCCCGGGGCUGGGGGAGUCCAGCCCGGAUAUUGAGUGCAGCCAUUGAGAAAAGCCAAACUCUUGUGUGUGCGCGUCUCGAAUAGCCCCCAAGAUGGCCGCCAAUGUGGGAUCGAUGUUUCAAUAUUGGAAGCGAUUUGAUCUACGGCGACUCCAGGAAGGGCUGACAGAGGAGGUGACUCAGCGAAGGGGAGACGGUUUGAAAUCAGGAGAGAGCUGCCGAGGGAAGCCAGGAAGCUCAGUGCGUGUGUCCAUGUGAGCGUAAGCUUGGCCUCUCCCUCCCAGGCCGAGAGCCCAGCCACCAGGAGUUGGGCAAUGUGGAUUGCUACUCCCCACCUCCCUUUCCUGGCACACAGCAGGAGAAAAGUGAGUACUUUGGAGCCACACAGAAGCCUGCCUCUGUCAUUUCCUAGCUAGGGGACCUUGUGCCAGUGGCUUCACAUCUCUGUGACUCAGUUUCCCUGUCUGUGAAGUGGCUGAACAAUAGAGCUGUUCAGAGGACUAGAAUUUUGCUGAAUAGUAGUUGCUGGCAGCUCCAAGUACAGUGAAGCUGUGCGUAGCUAAUAAUGAGUCUUAAUUGUGGGCGGACCCAGGAGCAAAGUGCACAGGGGUGCAAAGGAAGUAGUGAUGGAUUUUGACUCAGGCGAUCCUGGAAUGCUUGUAGGGAUGGGGCUUGAAUCACAUCACUUCUGACAACAUGAUAAAGAGGUGGGAGCAGGAGAAAGUUUUCUGUUUCAGGAUAGUGUAGGCAGAAAGGCAGGCAGGUAUAGAGGCUCUGGUGAGAUGGGAGGACACCUGUUGUAGAGGACGGCCAGGAGAGAGGGACAGCUGGGGACAGGGCAAGGUAAGGAUGUUGCAGAAGGGAGUCAGAGGAUUGUCAGGUCGGCCACUCCACUGAUGGACCCCUGUUGAUCGACUGCGUGGUUGAUCCAUUUUACAGGUGAGAAAAUGGAGGCGCUCGGUCACUUGUACAGGUGCACCCAAAUGUGCAGUUUUCUGUAACGCUAGCCCUGGCCCCCUCCUCCAUCAUGUUCAAGGCCUGGCAAAGCCCUGGGCAAUCUUCCUGCCCUCACCCAGCCCACCCACCUGGUGUGGCUCGAACUUCCCAAACCCCAAAUGAGUUUCUCCUUUUCGGAGACCUUUUUGACACUCAACUGGCUGUAUCCAUGCCUCCUCACAAUUCUCUGCCUAAUUUAAUUGGGCAAAGAUGUCAUGUAGACAUCACUUACAAUUCUUUUUCCUGUGCUCCCAGCUGAAUUUUUUGGUUGCCUCUGAGAAUUCCCCAAGUGUGGGCUUCAGCUGGGCAGCGCCUGAUGCUCCACUGCCCACCUUGGUUACUCUGUCCUCCUGGCAUGGGGAAGGUAGAGGUGUAGGGGCAUCUGCCUUGAUAGGCCGAGCCCCCACCCCUAGGUGGGAGGCCAGUGUGUGCAGAGAGGGAAAAGGUCUGGGAUGGGACUUGUGAGCUCCGGUGAGAAGAAUGCCUGAAGGUACAGUUCAUAAAGACAAAAAACAAAUAAAUGAGAUAAGCUAAUUGGGGAAGGUUUCACAUGUAAUCUAUUUAAAAGUCUUACUUUUUAACUUUUCAUUUUCAGACAGUUGCAAAAAAAUUUACAAAAAGUUGCAAAGACAGAAUUCAUGAUUUCUUGAAUGCUAACAUCCAGCUUAAACACAGAACAAUAACAAGAUCAGGAAGCUAACGGGGUGGAGCCCUAUUAUUACUCAGCUCUAACUCACACUUGCAUUUGUCCCUUCUGCCAGUCUGGGGUGCAUUUCUGGGUCCUAUAUCACACUGAGUUGUCCUGUUCCUCUAACCUGGAACCAGUUCUUUAGUCUCUUGUCUUUGGCGAUCUUGACACUUUUAGUGCAAACUGGCUGUUUAUUGUGUACAUGUCCAUCUAUUUGGGGCAUCGGGAGUUUAUUCGUGUUCAGACUCAGGCUGUGCUACAGGAGGGGCCUGGGUGCUGCUCCGAGCAUCGUGGUGGGAGCUGCCUGUUCUCAGCCCACCCCACCACCUGGGAUGUCGUCACCCUUGGCCACUUACUCUAGGAGAUGCCCGAGAGGAUCCUCUACUGAAACGUUAUGUUUUCCCUUUAUAAUUAAUAAGUAUCUUGUGGGGAGACACUUGGAGACAAUGUAAUGCUCUGUUUCUCAUCAUUCUUCUGUCCACUAAUUUAAGCAUCUGUUGAUGCCUCCUGCCUAAAAACAGUUAUGGCCUUGGUGUUUGCCAAAUGGCAAUUUUCUAUUUCCAUCAUUACUUUUUACAUUUAUUAGUUGAAGAGCUUUCCAUCUUCCCCCAAUUAUUUAUAUAUCCAAUUGUCUAUUAUUUAUUUGUGUUAGUAUAGAUUCAUAGGGUAUUUUUUUUUAAGUACUGAGGAUCAGAUCCAGAGACCCUCCACCGCUGAGCUGCAUCCCCAGCCCUUUUUAUUAUUAUUAUUUGGGGACAGGGUCUUGCUAGGUUGCCCAGGCAGGACUUAAACUUGCAACCCUCCUGUCUCAGCCACCUUAAGUGCAUUUCUCUCCCUACCCCAGCUCUGUCUCUCUCUUACUCCCAUCCCCACUCUUUUCCUGUCUUCCCUCUCCUUUCUUCCUGCCCUCCCUUCCCUCUGGGUCCCCAUCCCACCUUCCUCUGUCUUUGUUUCUCUUCCUCUCUUUAUUUUUCUUGCCAAAGAAGCCAAAUUAUUUGUCCAGGAGGGUUUCUCUCCACCGGACUUGACUGAGCACGUCCCCGUGGUGUCAUUUAACACUCUCUUCUAGCCCCCGAGUCUCCUGUUAACUGGUGAUGGCCCCAACAGGCUUGAUCGGAUGCAGGUUUGAUAUUUUUGGCAAGACUACAUGGCAUGUGGCUGUAUGUCCUUCCCUCAGGAAGCGCGUGAGGUCUGGCUGCCUCCCUCUCUGUGACAUUGAGAUUGAUUGGUGGAGCUGUCAGCCUGAUCCAUCCGUUGUCAGGUUCCCCAGCAGCUUUCUAUGCUGGGUUUUGUGCCCACUGAUACUCACUGCCUGGGUCCAUUAAUUCAUUAGGAGCUGGUGAACAUGGAUAUGCUGAUUCUGUCCCUCCUCCUCUCAGUCUUAGCUAGGAGAUUGCUGUACAGAGAAACCACCCCUCAUCAAUUAUUUGCUUACCCCGAAGGGAAGUGUGUCCAGGAAAGAGAAGAUAAAUGCUUAGUUCUUUCCCUUUAUCUGCCAGUUUUCAAAAUAAGCUAGUUCCCAGACAUCUUUCAAAGGUGGUCAAAGAAAGUUUUAAAAAAAUAUCAUUCAAAAGCUGGGCACAGUGGUGCACACCUGUGAUCCUAGCAUUUGGAAAGCUGAGGCAGGAGGAUUGUGCAUUUGAGACCAACCUGAACUACAUAGUGAGAAUCUGUCAAAAAACAAAAAACCCCACACGAACAAAAAGUCAUUAGAAGCCCGUGGAGAAGCUCAUGGACACAGGUGUAAUGGAACUGCCUUAAUCCAUUUCCGUUACAAUUGUUACUUGUGUUCAGGCCGCCCCAUCUCAGACAUGUGGGGGUUUCUGCUCCUGACAUCAGCUCCUGAACCCCCUGGGCCUCCUUGGUGGCCUUGGAGGCUUCCUUGCUUUCUGGGAGAACAAGUUGUUCCAAGUCCACCGUGUACAUUUGGAGCCACGGUGUUAGAGACCACAGUCCUGGUGUGGAAUGAAUGUUCAGAACACCUGGAGCCAUGCAGCUGGGAUCAUUUUCACAGGACCUCAGUGGAUGGGAUGAUGGAGAAAAGGGCAAAGCGGUGGCUUUGAAUUUGGAUCUUGUCUCCUUCCUAGCCCUGUCACAGCCCUCCCCAAAGGAUCCCUUUAUUCACUUUUACUCCAGCUUCUUCAUUUAGAAAACACUAGUGGAUCUCCCCUAUCCAGCUCCUCACUCCUGCUGGUGUUUUCUUGGGGAACGUCUUUGAGAUCAAAGACAUCUAGAAGAGGGAGGCCACCUGUGGUCCCUCAGUCCACAUUUGGGUCCUGCUGUGCUUUGCUGUGUUGUUGACUUGUCACUGCUGUUUGCCUCAUGGUGUCUUUGGGGGUGCGGAGUAACAAGAGAAUUCACCGAGGGACCCCUUCUUCCCCAUCAAAUCCAGACCAGAAAAAUGACAUAUAAUAUCCUUCACCAGAGCAACUUAAAAAUUAAUACAGGCCUCCGCGCGUCACCCCCGCCUUCAUCUAAGCAGCCUGCAUUCUACAUUUGAGAUUAAAACUCACAUUUCAUUUUUAUAUGCUGUGCUUAAUCCAAUAAUGAUUUCAUGUUACAAACAGCAAUAAUAUCUUUCAGCAUAGUUAAUCAGAAUAGACUUAAUGCUGUCACUAUUUAUUAACCUUUGUUGAAAAGCAAGAAGUUUCUCUCUAAUCUGUGAUUGUUGGUCUUGUCAGGCUCUAUCAAGUGAAAAAACAGUUUUGGCAUUCAUUAAAACGGUGUGAGCCCUGAAAUGACAAUUGCAGCCGGAUGGUAUUUGGUGCAUGAAAUCUUUGUUGCAUUCGUUGGGAUAACUGGUGAGGCCAGGGAGGCACACGGUGGGGACCCACACAGUCAAGAGACGAGGGGUUUCACCCUUGAGUUCCUCUUGGAUAAAGAAACUGUUCUCUCUUUUUUUUUUUUUUUUUUUGCCCCAUUAAGUUAUUGGUACAUUUUAGGUAUAAAACACAUAUUACAUUCAUCAUUGGGAUCUUGUACCUUUACAUGAGUCUCUUGGUUCUUAUUUUUUUUCCCCUUCCCCUGCCCUCCCUUCACCCCCUCCACCCUUCCCUAUUUGCAAAGAUUUUGUUUCCAUUUUUUUUCCUUUUCUCACAUUUUAAGAAACUGUUCUUAUACACUAGGAAAGGGGGCCAAAAUCAGGGUGCAGGACAAGGGUCGCAUUGGGUCUCUUGGUUCCCUUGCCAAAGAAACUCAUCAUUAAUUGAAGACAGUGGCUUUGCACUUGGAUUCUAGAUGCCUCACUCAUCUCUUCCCCAACCCUGCGCACAUUAAUGGCCCUUGGACAGUCAUUUGUCCCUUACAUUCUUUCCCCCACCAUCUUCUUUAUUUGGAAAACAAGUGUGGCUUUCCCCUACCUCCAGCACCUAUGUUGAGCUGGAGUCCAUUUGAAGGAGUCCAUGAAAACAAAGUGAUGGCCAUUAGAUGUCAGACUGUACUUCAGUGGGGGCCCCUGGGCAAGUGAUCUCAAUUGGUCGACUCGACACUUGGCUUGCAGGAGAAUGUGCCUGGCUGCUAGGAAUUCCAUAGGCCUGGACGCCUUGAGACUGCCUUUCUAGCAAACUCCCAAGUGAGCUAAUGCUGCGGGUGUGGGUAGCCCUGAGGGGGUUGUGGUUUGGAGUUUUCUGGACCAUGUCAGGAUGUCCUUCUGGGUCAAGAGGCCAUUGACCUUGCCUGGUGAGUGGAUGGAAAGUGCUUUGUCUCUGGUGGUUCUUGAUGCCAGCGCUGGGCAUUGUGGUUUGGGACAAGCAAACAGAAGCCAUGCUUCUUAUCCUCUCAAGGGAUGGUAGGGUGUCAAUGUUUGGAAGCAGCCCUUCUGCACCAGUGUGCAUGUGGACACCCAGGGAUCUCACUAAAAUGCAGAUUCCGAUUCACUAGGACAUGGGUGGGGCCUGAGAGUCUGCAUCCCUCAGACUCCCAGCUGAUAUGGGGAAAAACAGACCGCAUCUGGCGGGGGUGUGGGUAGCAAAGCUCUGCCACAUCGGUACUCUUGGCCAACUUCUGGUCCUUCCUGGAUUUAAAUUACAGAGUCUGAGCCUUGCUCACUGCACCAAAGGGAAAUUUGUCAUUAGAAAAAGGAAAGUUUCAUCUUGCAGAAGCCUCUUGACGGCUCCAAAGAGAAGGUGCUCUCCCAAAGGGCUUGUCCUUCCAUUUUUGUUUCCAGGACAUGCUUCUCAGAAAGUCCCUGUUGGGUCUUUAUCUUCCAAAGAUGAUUCAGAGAAAAAUCUAAUCUGGUGAAGAAGCGCCGAUGCCAGAGGCCUAGGAGGGACAUUCCACUAAGCAAAUAAAGUGCUUGUUUGGGACUGGAUGGUGUUGGCUGAGAUCAGUGAUUGAUGGACCCCUUCUCUCCCAGGAAGGGUUGAGCAGGGCAGGAAGUUUUGCCCAAGUAAAUGGGGAGGUGAGCAGGUGCUGUUAAUUAUUUAGGAAGAAUUAAGCUGUCUGGGUGGGUGGGUUUUAUGCUCUGUUUGGUAAUAAAGGUUGCUGCAGAAAGGCAUUUUAAAAUUCAGUAUUCUCAUUUGCCUCAUAUUGCAAAGAAGCCGAGCCUGGCUUUGACUGGUGGGAGCAUCUGGAAUUAAUGAACCAGCUUCUUACAGUGCAGAAAUCAAUGUUUGCUGCAUUAAUUGCACAACGCUGAAACCUCGCUUUUUAUUUCUGACUUGCAGAGCCCUGGCCUAAGAAAUCUCUCUUAAGCAGCGUUCUGGGGCUUUGCUGUUUCCUUAAUCCAUCUGGGCGUGGGGAAGGAAUUGCUUCUUCCCCAUGGAGGUGUGACCUAGGGGGCCGUGGGGGACACUCGGAACAGGUUGGGUGCUGUCGGGGCCCAGAGGGGCAGGUCCGGGGAACACCACAGCAAGACUUAGGGCUCAGGCCCUUCUGCAGUAGCCACACUCUGCUCUUCCAUCUCCUGAGAGUUUCAGCUUGUCAUUUCUUAUUUUAUUUUUUUAUUUUUUAUUUUUGGUACCGGGGAUCAAACUCGGGACCUUGCAGUUGCGAGGCAGGCAGGCAGCGGAACCACUGAGUUAACUCCCCAGCCCAGUUUGUCAUUUCUUUAGGUUAAAAUGCGCCACAUUGAGGAAUUGCAUAAGUUUCAGCUGGGUGUGUGUCUCUUGCCUUCUCCAUUUUUCCCCUGUGAAAACCCCUUUGGAGUGUGGAUCUCUGGAUCCGAGAUGUCACUUGACCACCAUGUCCUUAAGUAUGAGAGCAUUGCACAGCAUCAUCUGCUCCCCCUGGCUGAGCAGCAUCUGUGGACCCAGUGCUUGGUGCUUCAGACAAUGACUCAAGGAGACGACGUUUGAGCCACAUGUGGAGAAAUGGAUAGGAGCUCACUAAGGAGGGAGGGAAGUAAGGGCAUCCCAGGUAGAUGAACAGCGUGAACAAAGGCCCUGAGGCACAAAGGUGCUGGCUUCGAGGCCUGAAGCUCCUGCUGGCUGGAGUGGUGGUGGGGAGCCAGGAAUGUGGGUGGGCAGAGUUUUAGCAGAGGAGGAGCUGGGGAGGAACUUGCAGAUCUUCCAGUAGGUGGUGGGAAUGCCUAAGCAGGGGACAAGAUGACUGGUUGAGCUGUACUUCUUACUUACAUACUGACUCUGAGCUUUGACAUAAAUCAGAAUAUGGCACCAUUCCAUCAUUCCCCAAGCUCCUUUGUGCUGCUCCCUCAUAUUCAAACUCUUCUCCCCACUUCCCCCAUACCUGUCGCCACUGACCUGGUCCCUGACUCCAUAGCUUUGACUUUCCAGAUGCUCUAUAAAUGGAAUAGUGAGGCUUUUGUCUUUUGAAUCUCACUUCUUCCGCUAAGCACAGUGUUCUUGAGUUUCCUUCGUGUUGUUGCACGUAUUCACAGUUUGUUCCUUUUUAUUGCUGAAUAGUAUUCCAUUGAGUGGUUUAUUCAUUCACUUGUUAAGUGGUAUUUGAGUCGUUUACAGUUUCUGAUAGUUACAGUUAAGCAGCUGUGAACACUUGCAUUCAGGUUGUAUGUGGCCAUAGUUUUUAUCUCUCUAGGGUAAAUACCAAGGAGUGGGAUUUCUAGGUGAUUUGAUCAGUAAAUGUUUCACCUUUUAAGAAACAGCCCAGGCUGAGGAUUUAGCUCAGUGGUUCCACCACUUGCCUCGCAAGCACAGGGACCCGAGUUCGAUCUCCGGUACCAAAAAGAGAAGAAGAAACAGCCCGACUUUUUUUCUAAAGUAGCUAUACCAUCUUGCAUUUCUCCCAGUAACAUGAGAAUUCCAGUUGCUUCACAUGCUCACCAACACUUGCUAUUAUUAGGUGUGUUUUUUUCCUCAAUUGUAGCUAUCUUUUUUUUGGUACUGGGGAUCGCACUCGGGACCUUGCGCUUGCAAGGCAAGCGGUGGAACCACUGAGCUAAAUCCCCAGCCCAGUUGUAGCUGUCUUAACAGAUGUAUAGUAGUAUCUUAUUUAAUUUGCAUUUCCUUAAUGACUAAUGAUGUUGAGCAUUUUUUUAAGGUAUUUACUUGCUAUCCAUAUCCCCAUUUUUAAGUUGGGUUGUUUGGUUUCUUAUUGUUGAGUUGUGAGUAUAGAUAUAGAUAUAGAUAUAUGCUGGGGAUCAGUCCUCUGUCAGAUAAAUGAUUUGUAAAUAUUUUCUCCCAGCUGUUGGCUUGUCUUUUCAUUCUUUUAAAGUACAGAGUUUUUAUAAAGAUCAUUGCAGUUGAGCAUGUCUAACCUCUGACACCUCACUUGCCACAAUCAAGCCAUGCUUACCUUUUUUUAAUUCCUCGAAGAAAUCCGAGUCUUUCCUUCUCUAAGGCCUUUACCCAUGCUGUGGCUUCUGUGUGGAAUACUCUUCCACUUGGGAAGAAAUCUUGCCCUGCCUGCAUAUCACAGAGACAUUCUCCUGUGUGUUUUUUUUUAAAGCUUUGUUUUUUUAGCAUUUCAGUUUCAGUCCUUGAUCUGUCUUAGAUUAGUAUUUGUGAAUGUGAGAUAGGGUUUGAGGGUCAUUUUUAUUUUCUUUAAUAUGGCUAUCCAGUUGUUCCUACUUCAUUUUAAAGAUUUUUCUUUCCCUUACGAUUGCUUUGGUUUCUUUAUUCAAAACUCAAAUGAGCAUCUAUGUAUGAGUCUAUUUGUUCUUUUUCAGUGACCAGUAUGUCUGACCCUACAGCACUACCACAUUUUACUAAUUACUAUCAUCACAGUAGAUUUUGGAAUUAGGUAAAAUCGUCCAGUUUUCUUCUUCUGUUUCAAGUUUUGAUAGUCUAUGUCCUUUCAAUUUCCUUAUAAGUUUUAAAAUUGACUUUUUAAUUUCUACAACAAAUAAACCUAGAGUUUGAAUUGGAUUGCAUUGAAUCUAUAGAUCAUUCUGGAGAGAAUACGAUUUCUUAAUAGUAUUGAGUCUUCCAAUCCAUGAACAUGGUAUUUCUCCAGUUCCUUCCCUUUGAUCUUCUCUAUGCUUACUUUUGCUCCUCUUCAGUUCCCAGCCUAAGUGUCAUCUCCUCAAGGAGGUGUUUGUUGACCCCUGAUUAGAUGCUGUAGCUUCUGUCAUGCCCUCUAGUGCUACUUCCCUUCCUUCUUGGCACUAAUCAAAAUAGUAAUAAUGAUCUGUGUGAUUAUCUGUUUGACGUUUGUCUCCCUCACUGGACCAUAAAGCUCCAUAAGCUCAAGGACCAGGUCUGCCCUGUCCACAGACUAGCAUGCAGUAAGUUUUUAGUAAAGAUUUAUGAAUACAUGAAUGAAUGCCCUCUUUUUUUGUUUUUUGCUUUUUGGGUUUUUUUUUGGGGGGGGGACAGAAGGAUUUGUUUAGGUUUUAUGUGAAUGCCAACUGAACAGACUAUGUCCAAAGGAAGAGCCGAAUGCCCUCUGUAUUUUGGCACAUAUCUCCAGGUCACUGGCUGUUGCCAUUUAUAGUUCAGUGCACACUUUGGUCUCUGUUUUUAGAUGGAGAAACCAAGGCCUCAUCUUCCAACCCCUUUCUUAGCCUCUGCCUAAUGCUUAGUUCCUGCUGACACACAUUAUACAUUGAGUGCUCCUAUUCAUUUGACAGGUAGAUGUGUGUAAUUAUGAUUUUUAAAAACUCAUACAUCUACAGAGAGUUUUUAGGUAAUGAUUAUAAUACAGACAUUUAAUUUAUUUUGAGAGAAAAAAAAAAAGGUGUUGCUUUCACAGCACCAGUCAGGGCAUUAGAAAAACCAGUGGCAGAAUCUUGAUUGAAUUAGGCUGUGCUCAUAAUUAGGGAAUGCUGGGGCCCACAGAACAUCAACAAGCAGUAAGGACAAAGUGAUAGAAUUAACAGUCUCUCUCUCUCUCUCUCUCUCUCUCUCUCGCUCUCUCUGUCUCUCUCUCUCAUUUGAGAGUUGGCAUUUUAGGGACAUUGUGUUGUUAAUUAAUUGGUUUGUAGACACUAUUUGGAUGUAUAGAUUUUAUUCUACAGUUUGAUCCUAAAUCAAUAUAUAGGCACUGGAAUUAAUUAAAUCCCCAGGGUAAGCAUUUCUAAGGAAGAUUUUAGGAAGAACUCUCUGAGAAAGCCUGAGAUUGUUGGGAUGAGUUGUCAAGUUGUACUGUAGAAUGUUGGAAUUCAGAGCAAAAUAAAAGAGAGAAGCUCAAUAACACGAAGUCCUUUGCAGGAAUCCGGAAGGGAGAAUAUUUACUCCAAAUUGGAUCUCUAGACUAAUACAAACAAAACAAAAAUUCAACUGGAAGUCCUUUGGGGGCUUGCAUGAAGAGCAGUGGAAAAAUCUAACAUUAUUACAAGCUGAGAUUGUAAUUUCCUCCUACCAUAAUAGCUUAUGUUUUAUACAGUGCUUUCAUUUCAUUUGCAAAAUAGCUUGGUAAAGCAAAGGCAAAUAUGAUCAUUAUUAUUAUUGUUGUUAUUAUUCCCAUAUCACAGAUCAGCAAACUGAGGCCCAGAGACCUGGCAAGAUUGGCCUGCAGUUACAGAACUAGCAAGGGGAAGAUUUAUGUGUAGAUCUUUAGAACUUGAUACCACGUUCAGUUCUGUACACUUUGUCAAUGAAUUAGUAGUAGUUAAAGUUUUCCUCGAGCCAGGGAUUUAGCUCAGUGGUUCCACUUGCUGAUUCCACCGCCUGCCUCGACAGUGCAAGGUCUCAAGUUCGAUCCCAGGUACCAAAAAAAAAAAAAAAAAAAAAAGUUUUCCUCUUAGAGGUAUAGGAUCUGAGUUGGGGAAGGGGUUGAGUGGCAUUUGUGGUUUUGGGGAAUGUGAUGAUGUUGAUAAUAACUAUAGUAAUGAAUACCAUUCAUUUAGCAAUGUCUCAGUUACUGUACGUUAUGUUAUGCUACUGUAAUGAAAGACUCCAAAAAUUUCAAUCACUUAACACAACAAAGGCAUAUUUCUUGCUCACUUGACAUGUCCCCUGGCUAUGUGUCCAUAAUGCCUGGGCAGUGGACUCCACUCGUUGUAGUUAUUUGGGGACUCAGGCUAAUAGAACAGCCACCAGCUCUAAUAUGUGUGUCAUCCAGCAUGCUAGAAGUAUGGAGACCUCUAGAUGGUCUUGUACCAACAAUAAAAUGCUCCAUCCUGGAUGUGACACAUCACUUCUGCUUUCAACUCAUUGUCCAAAAUUAGUCACAUGGGCUCACUCAGCCUUGAGGAGCUAAGAAGUACAUGGAAAGAAGAGAGCCAGAAAUAUUUGGCAAAAGCAUUAAUGACUGCCAUAGACACCAAUAAAGAAGUAGUUCAUCUGAUUGUACAGCAAACCUGUAAGGUAUCAAAGAGAGCUAACAGUUAUUGAUUGUUUACCAUGUGCCUUGCGCCUAGAAGAGCACAUUUAACUGCAUGAUAACCCCAUCAAGUAGAUACUGUAAUUCUUUCAAUUACAUCUCAUUUUCAUCUAAUUACAGAUGAAAAACCAGAUUCACAGAGGUAAAGUUACCUGCCCAAGGUCACAAAGCUAGAAAAAUGGUAGAGCUAGUGUUUGAAUCUGUACCAUCUUGGCUGCAAAGCCCACAUUAUAAUAACCCCAUUAAUAGAUGAGAAAUCUGAGGUCCAGAGAAGCAAACCAACAUGCCCAAGGUCACACAGCCGAGAAGCAGAAAGCUCCGCCUUUUGCCUUACAUUCUCCCAUGUAAUGUUGGGAGACUUCCUUUUUUAGUUUCUAUGGGUGAUUGCCAGCUGUCCCUCCCCAACUCUUUCCUAGGCAGGCCAAUCCCAACCCUUGGCCUUCUGUGUCCCUGAAGUAAGCACUGGUUUAUUACACAAGUCAGCUUGCAUGGGAUCAAAAUGCUAAAUUCCCAGGACUUUUCAAACCACUGAUAAACACAGACAUUAUUAAAAAUUAAAUCACAAAAACUUACCAUGGUUACACACAGGAAUCCCCCCUUAUCCUCAGGGGAUACAUCUCAAACCCCCCAGUGGAUGCCUGAAACCUCAGUAUUAAACCCUGUGUACACUGUUUUUUCCCUGUGCAUACAUGUCUGUGAUCAAAUUUAAUUUAUAAAUUAGGCAAAGUAAGAGAUUAACAACAACAAUAAUAAAAUAGAACCAUUUUAUAAUUGUUCCAACAACAAUUGGUAUAAGUUAUGAGAAUGUUAUCUCUCUGUGUCUUGCAAUAUCUCACUGCCCCCCCCCCCCCGUGACAUGUGAGACCUUAUGGUGCCUGCUUAAUGUGAACGAUGGUGUGGACAUUGUAAUGUAUUGUUGGACGACUGCCUAUGGGUUACCUGAACAUAAGUACCGAGAUUCUGUGACAGUGGAUGGGAUAAUUGAGAUGGCUACUAAAUAACCAGCAGGUGAGUAACUGGACACUGAAAAACACAUGAUUCACUUUGUGGUUGGGACAGAGCAGGACUGGGAGAGAUUUCAUCUUGCUACUCAGAAUACGGCACAAUUUAAAACUUCUGAAUAAUUUAUUCUGGAAUUUCCAUUUAAUAUUUUUGGACUGUAGUUGAUUAUAGUUAACUCAAACCAUGGAAGGUUAAACCAUAGGUACGUGGAGGCUUGCUGUAGGUAUUUUUUACAUUAUGGCCUCUGUUGCCGCUACCCAUCCCUGCCAUGGCUGUACAAAAGCAGCCUUAGACGAUACCUAAAGACAUGAACAUGGCUGAGUUCCAGUAAAACUUUAUUUACAAAAUAGGAUGAACUAAAUUUGGCGCAUGGAUCAUAGUUUGCCAACCCCCAUCUAUGGUAUCUCUUUGAACAGUAGCCAUGACAGGUUGAGUGGGCCUGUUGAGUAUCCUUCCAACCCCUAAAAUUCUUUAACAAGUUUUAGCUAUUUUUAUGGAGCUGAUAGGCAAAAAUGAUGAUGUGAGCAUUGAUAGACUAGAAGUUCUUUGAAAGGGAGAAUCUUUUUGUCUUGUCCUCCUGGCAUAGUACCUGACCCUUGGGUAUUAUUUAACAGAUAUUUGUUGGGUGAAUAAAUUAAUAAAAUGAAUAACAGUUACUAUUUUUGAAAAAGUUGUAUUAUGGAGAAUCUCAAAGGUACACAGAAAGUGAAUAGAGCAGAGAGUCCAUCUCCAAGGCCCAGCUCCAACACUGCACUGACAUUGCUUAUUGGCCUGUGCUCAGUUCAUUCUGUUAGGACAGUGACUCUGGCAUCCAGUACAUGCCAGCGUGCCCUGGUGCUGUGCACAGGCGAGGGCUCAGUAGGUGCUCAGUACCUAUGCGGGGGAAAUGAAAGAAUGAGUGAAGGACAAGCUAGUGUGCUUGGAUCUGACCUAUAAGACUUCUAGAGGGUUUUAGGGUCUUAUUGCAUAGAUUUGGGAAAAAUGUGGGUAAAAUCAGUUCUUACUAUUUAAACCACAGCGUUGGACAUCAGAAUUCCUGAGAACCUUCGUAAUCGUGUUGGUUCCCAGCUCUGCUCUGAGGAGUGGGGCUGCUGAGAAAAUGGUGUUUGGCAAGCCCAGCAGGCUCCUGCAGGUAAAGGAAGAUCCAGUGCCUGGGGUUUUAAAGGAUGCCCUGGGUCCUGCACUCUUUGACACUUUCUCUCCAGAGUCCUGGUGAGUAAGGAAGAGAAUGACCACACACCCAAGAUCUGGUCUAAUUCGGGCUCUUUAAAGUAACCAGGAUAUUGGAAUGAGUUUAGAGAAAAUAUGUCAGGUCUGCUCUGAUUUGCAAUUUGAGAUAAAUGUAGGAAACGUGUGUUUGCUUCUCAUAAGAGGAUUAUGUUGCCUUGCAAGUUGGGUCAUUGUCACUUUUGAUUUUAGAACACUUACUUGUGCCUCCAGUAAUGAACAAAAACCAAACCACACUGAGACCAGCCCAGGAGGUCCUGCUGUUGCAGAGUCCAAAGUAUUCUUGUUUCCACUGAAUUCCUAUUUCUGAAUUCCAGCUUGUCACACACCAGACAUUUAAGGGCCCUGCACUGGGCUAUAUCAACACUGGUGGUUUAUUUCGGAUAUAAACUAAUCUUUUUAAAAUUAUUAUUUUUAAAAACUCCUAACUUGGUGUCUUGUACUUUGGAGUGAAUUGUUCUUUGCCAUAUUGAUUUGGUGUGUAAUAUUAGACCUUGCUCUCGUAAUCAUUAUCCAUCCCCCAUUCAUCCUCAACUGGGAUAGCAGUGAACUCAGUCAAAUUUUGGAUUCAUUAAAAAUGAUCAUGGAGCUUAAACUGGGAGCCAGGUGAUGAAAUAAACAUAUUUCCUAUGAAUAGCACCCUGUUUUACUUUAUCUACUAAUUAACCUGAUAAGAGAGGCCAGUUUUAAGGUAAUUUUUCCAAUUCAAAAAUGACUAUAUAUACAUUAUAAGCCACAGAUGUCCCUCUGGGUGUGAACUGGGCAGUGUUUGAGUGGAGUAACAUUUGGAGUGAGGUCUUCCCAAACCCUUAGGCUUCCCCAGGGUUUGACUAGCCAAGAACUCCUUCCACUGAUACCUAAAAUGCAGGCACUAUUCUAAGUGCUCUCUGUACCUUGGAAACAAAUCACUCCUAGCAGGAUAAGUCCCAAUUCUAUAGCUAAUAUCGAAACACCAUCCUGGGUCUCCCAUGCAUUCCCCCUGCUAGAGUUUCUGGUUGGACUGGCUGAGUGCUCUGUGGUCUAAAUAUAGCCAUUUAAAAAGAAGAUCACAGGCCCAUCCACUUGGGACUGCUAAAAAGCCUUUCACGAUAACUCUUGAAAGCCCGAUGCCUUUAAUCCUUAACUUUAAUUUAAAAUAGAGAAAUCUUCUCAACUCAUAUUCCAUCUCCACAUUCUCUCCCCUGGCCUUGGUCCACCACGACACAUCUUUUAAUUUGCCCCCACCCCACCUUUUCAUGAUGGAAGAAUAAGAGUCUUUAUAAGUAGCUGCUGGAACAAGGACGGACUAAGCUGUUUUAAUUUCUUGCAAGGAUGUUUUUAUAGAAGAAAAUCAAGUCAACACUCGAGAGUAUACACGGCCCUUUACAGAGAUGGGGAGAAUUAAUCAGGCCAGAAAGUUCGGAAUAUAAAAGGGGAGGGCUGGGUGGAAGGAUGUUUCAUCAAACCCACUGCUCUGGGAGCCGCAGAGAUGAAAGGAUUUCCCUCUCCCAGCGCCUUAAAUAUUGGCAGGCAGCGGGUCAAGAUGUUUUCUUUUGUUGUUAUGGAAAGCCAUACAGAUAAUUAAUGCUGUUGAAAGAAGAUUGUUCUGUUGGCGUCUGCAAGGCUGGCCCCCCAGUCUGGGAUCUUCUGGGAAGAAACUAGUCAGGGAAAAAAGUUAUGCACCCAGGGAAAUCCUGCCAAUUUACAGGAGCAAUAAAUAACGCCCGAGCAAAUAGCCUCAGGCCAGGGCCUUGUGGCUGCAGACAUUUGAUAUGUGGACACAAGUCUGUCCGUGCAGUGAACUUUAAAUGGAGCAGGGGACCCACCUCCCCACCCCGCCCUGCCCCACCCUGUCACAGGCAGCUGCUUUUGAACAAGAAUUACUAAGGGAAGUUGUAACAGAAGCCCAGGAAGGAUAUGCAUUGGCUUUGAUAUUUGCAGUUCUUAUUUCUUCCUAGAUAGACAGGCUCUUGCUCUCAUUUAAUGGCAGGAAAUGUUUGAUCCCAUCCUUAGAUAUCAGAUGUAGCCAUGGGGGAGGAGUCCUGGCCAGGCCUGCGGGGCCCUUGGGAGUCAUUUGUGCCUCCGGCCAGUCCCAUCCUGAAGGAACAGGAAUGCACUGAGGAGAUGCAGUAAACCCCAAGGCAUACGACAGAAGGCUUGCUUCCUGCGGGUCCGGUCCUUUGUACUUUGUGGACAUUAGUCACUUAGGCCUACAGUUGGUUGCACUGUACCAGUCAGGAAACACAGGUGUGAGCUAACACAGCUAGCAAAUGUUGGAACUGGGAUUCGAACCCAUGCAGUCUGGCUCCAGAAGUGACACUUUUCUAAAAAAGUUGAGGUGAAAUUCACAUAACAUAAAGUUUUCAUAACAUAACAUUUUAUAAGUGAAAAAUCUAGUGGCAUUUAGUGACGUUCAUGAUUUUGUGCACUCAUCACCUCCAGCUAGUUCCAAAAACAUUUUCAUUUCCUGCCCAUUAAAUUUCCCAAAAGGAAACCUAAUGCCCAUCAGCAGUUGUUCUCCAUAGGCCAUUUGCCUGUCCCUGGCAAGCACCAGUCUGUGAUCUGUCAUGGUGGCUUUACCUGUUCUAGACAUUUCCUAUAUACAGAAUUAUGCAGCAUUUGACCUUUUGUGCCUGGCAUCUUUCACCUAACAGUUUUCAAGGUCCAUGAAUGUUGUAGCAUAUGUCGGUACCUCAUUCCUUUUUAUGGCUAAUUAAUAUUCUGUCACAUAGAUGUAUCACAUUUUAUCCCUCCACCUGUUGCUGGUAUUUGGAUUGUUUCUUCCAUUUGGCCAUUGUGAAUAGUGCUGCUGUGGACAUGCAGGUACAAGUAUUUGUUUUCAAUUCCUUGAGGUAUAUACCUAAGUGUGGAAUUGGUGUGUUGUGUGAUAAUUCUGUACUUAACUUUUUGAGGAACCACAAGACUGUUGAGGGCUGACAAUCUUAACUACUAUACUGUACUGAAGCUAAAUCCUCCAGGACUGGGUUGUUUUAGAAGGAAGCUACUGUGGCUGCAUCUUACAGGCACUUCUGACUUUUUUCUUGAGUGCAUGGAAAAUUCAUUCAUUCAACAUAUUUUGAGCACUAGCUUUGCAGCAGAUGUUGUACCAGAUGCUGGGGGUACAUUGUUGAUCACAUUCAUUAUCCCUACAUUUAGGGCUCACUGUCUAGUGGGGGAAGGGACAUGUGAAACAGAAACUACAAACUAAAAUUCCUGCAGGUGCCCAGGGGUAGAAUUAGUGAGGGAGGCAGAGCAGAAGCAAGACUACAGGGUGUGGUAGAGUCUGUGGCUAAGAAGAGAAUGGAUGCUCAGGUUAAAGGCUCUGAUUGAUAAUUGCUGGGCAAGAAUCCAGCCAUGGUGUGGUCAGAUCUUCCUCUUUUUUCUCUCUCUCUUAAAGAAACUGGUAAUUUGGAUCUUUGUAUCAAAUCUCUGAUAUUUAAGAUCUCAAACUAAACAGAACAUGUCUAAGAGGCCAAAUGGGCUACCAGGUUAUAAACUAUAUUAAGGUUCUCCAGAGAAACAGAAUGAACAGGAUAUACUGCAGAUACACGUGUCAGUCAGCAGCAGACCAGAUUUGUAACAGUGGUCCCAUAAAAGAACUUAAGGUUUUCUAUUGCCUAGUAUUUUUGCUGUACCUUUUCUGUUUAAAUAUGUGUAGAUAUGCAAAUAUUUACUGUUGUAUUGUGAUUGCUUACAGUACUCAGAACAAUAACAUACUGUAAUGUUUGUAGCCUCGGAGCUGUAGGCUGUACCAUAUAGACUUUGUGUAGUAGGCAUCUAGAUUUGUGUAAGUACACUAUGGUGUUUGCGUGAAAUCACCUGUCUACACAUUUCUCCGAACAUAUCCUGGUUAUCAAGCAAUGCAUGAAUCUGUGAGAGAGAGAGAGAGAGAGAGAGAGAGAGAGAGAGAGAGAGAGAGAGAGAGAGAUCUUAAGGCACUGGCUCCUGCGAUGGGGAAGCUGAGGAAUCCCAAUAUCUGAGUGGGAGUGCUGCAGCCUUAGGAGACUUGAUCUGAAAGCCAGCAGCUUGAGACUUAGGAAGAGCUAGUGUUUCAAUUCAAGCCCAAAGGGAGAAAGAGACUGCUGUCCUAGCUCUUACUGGGGGAAAGAUCAUGCUUUUUGUUCUACGGAGGCCUUCCGCUGAGGGGAAGAGGCCCACCCGUGUUAGGAAGCCCCUCUGCCCUAUUCCGUCUGCCUGUUCAAAUGCUGCUGUCAUCUAGCGCCACUGUCACAGACGCUUCCAGGGUGUGUCACCAGACGCCCGGGCACCUCAGCCCAGUCAGACUGACACAUAAAGUUAACCGUCACAAGUCCAGCCUUUGUAAACUUAGCACCCAUAGGCCUCUCAUUAAUCAUACUUAAUAAUAUCCAGAUGAAGACACUCACAAAGUCUUAAUCCUGCCUGACAUGAUACAACUACCCUGUGUACAAUCAAACAUACACCAGUCCCUCCCCCAGACGAGGAAGAGUCACCUUGAGUGAUGGUGACUCUUCCUUAGCAUCCCAUAACUUAAAUAAUUCAGUGUAAGUCAGUAAUACUUAAAUAUCAUAAUAUAAAUCAGUACAUCUUAUGUUACUUAAUAAGAGAACAAGAUAAGGGAACUUAAUACAGGAACAAGAGGAAAGAAAAAGAUAUUUGCUUUAUAGUAUUGAGAUAUACACACACAAAUAUAUUUAUAACAAAAUAAAGAGAUACCCAUAAUGGUUGCGGUCCUUGGUUCUCUAACUGGCCGCAUGGUUAAAUUGUAGCUAGGCAUGAUGGCACAUGUUUGAAAUCUCAGUACUCAGGAGGCUUAGGCAGGAAGAUUGUGAAUUUGAGAACAGCCUGGGGUUCAUAGUGAGUUCAGGGAGAGCCUGGAUUACGUUGUGAGACCUUGUCCCCCCAAAAGAAAAAGAAAUCUAAAUUAUGACAUAACACUGGAGAGCUGAUAGACUUCUGAGGAAAGUCAGUGAAGAUAUAUUGCUGGCAUUGCCAGCUGAAAGCAGAUUGCCUCUGGUGGGCCUUGUGGACAAGGGUGGAGACAAAGGUAUCUGCCAGAUCAGUAGCUGUACACCAGGUACCAGGGAAUGUGUUAUUCUGCUCAAGCAGUGAAACCACAUCUGGUACAGUAGCUGCAGUUGAAGUCACCACGUGGUUAAACUUACAGUAAUCCAGUGUCAUUCCCUGAGAUCCAUAGAUCUCCUGUACUGGCCAUAUAAGUGAGUUGAGUGGGGGUGUGGAAUGAUCCCCACCCCUGUGUCUUUUCUGUCCUUGCUGAUAGCAGUGAGCUCAGCAGUCCAUCUAGGAAUACGACAUUGCUUCUGGCUUACAAUUUCCUAGGUAGAAGCAGAUCUAGUCACUUCUAGUGCCAUUUCCCACCAUUACAGCCCUUACUCCACAGGUCAGAGAACGCUGGGAUGCUGCCAUUUACUGUUCCAGUUAUGCAUUCUAGAACUGGGGAAAUCGCCACAGAUGAGUUUGGGAACCCACCAGCUCCGCUGUGAGAUGAACCUGAGCAAAAGCUCCAUUGAUCAUCUGAACUGCAUAAGCCCCUGUGCUGACCGGCGGCUCCCAGGGACAUUUGGGGUCUCCUGGGGCCAGAGUCAGUUUAGAACUAGUGUUCAGUAUUGCUCCCAAAUGCUGGUCAUUUCCUUUGUCCCAGUGCACAGUCAUCCUGGAAAAAGGCCUAAGUCCCUUUGGGAAAGUUUGGGGAAAGAUCAACAGUACAAACUUUUGGCAGUAUCCCGGAUCCUUUCUCUAGGGGACCCAGCCUCCUAGCUGGGUCAGGAGGUUCUAAGUCUAUAAACUGGCUAAAGUUUGUGAAUGGAUUGAAGGGGUGUGACUUUUUUUCAUGAUGCAGUUAGACUUCACUUGAUCUGGAACUUUCCCAUUUAGGCUUCUUCUGUGUUUCACUUCUGGGAACACCACGAUUAAUUAACUGAUACCAUGGGUCUGUGAGACCCUGACCAUCCCGACUGCUGCUUUGGCUCUGCAGUCCAUUCCGAUGCCCACACCCGUGAUGGAGGGCCAUCAGUUGGCCCUCCCACCCUGGUGUCCAGUUACUCCCUCUGUUUAGGUUUCCCAGGUUAGUGCCCUUGGAUCCUGCUCUAAGGACCAGCCUACAGAGAAGCGUGGUCCUGAGCACCUCAAGGCUGCCAAGGCUCCCCUCUCCAAUUCACUUCUCACCAUACAGAUGAAUAUUGUGUCUUCUGGACCCUCCCAGUGUAAGUGAGUAGGUCUUUAAAAAUGACAAAUCCGUGCUAAUGUUUCAUCUCCCAAAACCUUUGAAUCCCUUCCUCUAGAUUAAACUGUAAUAGGUCUGGCAUUUCAAUUCACUGACUGUGGAUCACUUUUGGUCCAUGCUUCAGCCAACCAAGCAAACCCUCGGAGACCUUUUAACUCCCAGCUGCAACAUCAAAUGCAGAAUCUCAGCUUAGGGAUCUCAAAAUCCUGCCUCUUCCAAUUUUAUAUUCCUUCCACUUUAUCCCAUGUCUUCAUAUCCAUUCCCAUGAAUAUUCCCUAGAUUUCUGUCUAUAAAUUAGAAAACUCAAGUAGUUCUUUCAAAGAAUAGCAUGCCUCUACUCCUCAUGGGUCACACUUUGUACCUCAUCAUUUGGGAUCUGCUGAGACUUGAGUCUAGGUACAGGUAUAGAAGCAAAGGGUGGGGUGGGUCCUGAAGAGACUGAGCAUUUUCUUGCUUGGCAGCUAGCUACCUCAGGGGAGACCAAAUGGUUUCUUCAAGAAACGUAAGUUGAUUCUCAUUGGAGGGUGGAGAGGCAGCUCCCACAGAGGAUAGGGGAACUCUUCCCCUGACAAAGAAGUCUUGUCAGAAUCUAGGGGCUCAGUGUGCCCAGCUUCAGUGUCUUCCCACAUGUCCCAACUUUCAGAUCCCUUUUCCUGGUCAGUGCCCUCACUGUUAACAGCAGAUACCCUACAAGGACAGGAGUUGAACUUGUGUUGUAAUUUAGCCAGUGGUGGGAUGAGAUUCUGGGUUUGAUUUGCAGCACUCUCAGCCCCUCAGCCACCGGAGAAAGGGGUCUCCUUCGGGUCACAUGUGGAAGCUUUCAGGUUGUUUAUGUGGCACUCGAGUGGGAGGUUCAUAUCACUGAACUUGUCCUUUCCGUAUUCUGUCCAGAAGAAGCAUUAGGAGCUGCCAGCCAAUCUCACUGUAUUCAUUAGUUUGCCCAAAGUGUUCCAAAGUACUGUAUCACCCAGAUCCUUGCUCCUUAUGAGUGAUUGACUAGGAGGAUGAGAGGAGAUGUUUUGUGUGUCUCUAUUGCCAGAUCAUACCACAGUGUUUGUAUUCCCUUCAUUACUUCGAAUAGAGUCAUGAGUGUCUUUAAAUCUAAUCAGAUUAAAAUUCCAACCCCAGAAACCUUCAAAGCAAUUCAAAAAAGUCCAUCUUCAGCUAGUCAUGGUAGUAUAGGCCUGUAAUCCCAGCACUUGGGAGGCUGAGGCAGAAGGAUUGCCCAGAGUUUGAGACUAGCCCUAAAAAAUGAGUUCAAGGCUAGCUUGGAAUACAUAGUGAGACCCUGUCUCAAGAAAAAAAUAAAAUCCAUCUUUAAUAUUACAUUCCUCUAGGACCACUCCUGCUGCAAAAAUCUGUAUUAGCCAGGGUUCUCCAGAGACAUAGAACCAAAGGGAUAUAUACAUGCAUAUAUAUCUUGUUUAGCUACUUUAUGUAUCUACAAGCUGAUACUAUAAUUAAAUGAAAUGUGAACCAGAGCAGUCUGAUAGAGGCAAGAAGGAGAUAUACAGGGCGACCAACUAAAUCCUGCCUGGGGAAGUCAGGGGAGGCUCUCAUCAGGGAGGCAGCACUUGAGGUGUGUUGUGAAGGAUAAAGAAGAAUGAGCCAGGAAAAGCAUGUAGGAAAGGAAGUCCAGGUAGACGGGUCCAUAUAUGCUUGGAUUCCCACACAUAGUCAGUGUGACCUAAGCUUGGGGUAUGUGAGGGACAUGACAAGGACAUAUGCCUGGGGAGUGGGGCAAGGCAUGCUUCCCUGAGGGCUAUAGCAGCUACCCAGGUCUUUGAGCAGGAGUGGCUGGCUUCCAUUGUAUACUAGACUGGCUGCUCUGGGGGCUCUGUUUAGCACCUACUGCAUACCAGGCCAGAUAAUAAGACCCUGAACAACGGAAAAGUGAAUGUGCAGUCUUUCCACAGUGAUAAGUGCUCAGAGGAAUAAGGAGCAGUCAGGGGAGUCAAGGGUGUACUGGGGAGUGUGAGUGUGCAGCGUAUGGAGUGAACAUAGUCUUGAGUACUAUACUUCCCCUCAGCAGGACUUGAAGGGGAAAGUGGGAGAAAGUCCAAGAUUUGGCCUGAGCUCUCAGAAGGAUAGAGCUGCCUUUUCGUGAGAUGGGGGUACCUAGGAGAGGAGUAGGGAUCUGGAGUGGGGCAGGGGCUCAGCCUUGGGCUGGGGAGUUUGGGGAGAGCUCUGACCUCACCAAACCUGAUGACAGCCGAGGUCUCCUGGUGGCCCAGCAGGCUCCAGGGAUCAGAGAGGGUUUCUCUCCAAUGAUAAAAUGACCAGAAUAUUUAUCAAGUCCUCCAUGCAUGCAGGGCACUGUGCUGAGCUUUGCCUGCAUCAUCUCAUUUAAUGCUUGCAGGUGAGUGUGGAAGGCUCAGAGAAUUUGUGAGACUUGCCCAAGAUUCCCCAGCAGGUAAGCUGGCAGCGGGGAUUUGAUCUCUUAGACCAGGCUUUAGGAUCUUCCUGCUUACUUGUCAGGAAUUCUUGUCUCCCAGUACUAGAAGGGCCAACACCUUUGAAGUUAGUGAGGGAGUGUAGUCCCAGAAAGGUCUCACUCUGAAAACUCUCAGGUGGACGAAGCAGGGCCAAGAUUUGGUCCAAGAGUCCUCAGAUUAAAGGGCAGCAGGGGCUGCUCGGGGCCAGGUGAGAGACAUGCUGGUAGUCUUGCUACCCUCCUCCGCUGACAUUACUGUUACUAGGAUCUCAUUGGGUUGAAGUCAGCUGUGGGGGUUGAGGAGCCGGAAGGGAAGAGGCCAGAACAUGACUAGCAGCUGUCACAGGUGAUAGGACUUUAAAAACCUUUAUUAUGGAAAAUCCUUGGCAUUUUAGAAAUACAAUAAAAUAAGUCCCUUUGUCCUAAUCACCCAGCACCAACUCUUGUCACCAUCCUGCAGUUGUUUAUCCAACUGCUCCUCCACUUUCUUUCCUUUCUUCCUAGAAUAUUUGGAAGAAAAUCUCAGAGAUGUUGUUUCAUCGUAGAUGCUGGUGGGAUUUUGAGUAAUCAUUAUUUUGAUUCAUCUGGGUGUGUAUAUCAAGAUUUGUAUUUCUAUUUUUGUUUGUUUGACUGUUAAAAUCACUGCACUUUUUAGGUUCCCAAGCUUUAGACACUUGCAUUUCUUCAUCUGUAAAAUGGGGUGCCUGCAGAACCCCUCUCUGAGCUCAUUUCUGCAAGUGCUGAUGACAGGGUCUGCCACCACAUAUUUUUAUUAUUUUGUUAUUGUGGUAUAAUUUUUGAAGUGGAGAUCCUGCCCCUCAAAUCCCUGGGAUCAGGCCUCACUAAGAGGGCAUUUGGGGUUCCUGGAUUCCAGACUGGAACUUUCCAGAGCUUGUGUGCCAGGCUCAGACUUACCAACCCCUGACUUCGCAGUGAGUGUGGCAGGAUCCACAGGACUUGGGUGAAGCUCAGCUGUGUGCUCCCAGGCCAGCAGACCCUGGGCAGAAACCCAACCUCUCCAAGCCUCAGUUUCCACCUCUGUAAGUCAGAGUUGUCAUGGCACCUACUGGUGCAAUGAGCUAAUGCAAAUAAAGGUGCAGUACAGUGCUUGGCAUACAGUGAGUGCCCAGUAAUUGUUCUCUGGCAACUUUCCUCCAGAAUUUGCUUAGAAAUGAGCACAGGGAAGGAGGUAUUGAGCCAUUACCCCCAUGCCCCUAACUGUGGCCACAGGACAGUAGAACCAGCUCUGGCAAUGACAGUCCAGGUCACUUGGGUCCAGCCCUGCUACGAGGCCUUAGCUGAAUGUGUCAACCUCCCUGGGCACGUGGAAAGGGACUGUGUGGGCCAGCUGUGCCAGAGGCUGCAGCCUGGAAUGGUGCAGAGGUGGGGGCUGCAGCUGCCAGGACCCCUGCAGCCCUCCCAUGGACCCCUCCCUCAGAGCAGUGGCCUCUGCCAGGCCGGCCGCCAGGGGGGCUUGGCAUGAGGACCAGCAGAUGCCAGUCUCGCUCCACGCACAGAUGUAUCUGCCAGUUUCUGAUGGGGAGAAGCGAUCUGGGAGUCGCUCACUUCAUUGAUAAUUAAAUUCAAAUUAAGAGAGAUUUGCAUUUAUCAAAUGCCUGUUUGACAAGGUGUCACUGUUCCCAUCCAGUACCCAGGCGCUGGGGAGCCAGCAAGGGGAGGUGCAGCUAUGUGGGGGUAGGGGUAGGGGGUGGAGAUGGAGAAGGGAGAGCUUCAGAGACACUGCUGUCAGCCCUUCAUUACUGCAGGGCCAUUAUGCGGUGGUAAAUUGAAUGAAAUGCUGUGUGACCUCCAUCAGGCUGCUGAACCUGUCUGAGCCUCAGUUUCCUCACAGCAGCCCCCAGGCUCUCCCUUGGAGAAAACAGAUGGCUACCAUUGGCCACAGGUAAGGUGAGGCAUUCGCAUAUCUAUCACCCCUCUGGGCUGUAUGCUGGGGAGUCUCUGUGGACAUUGUGGUGACCCACAAGAUCCCUGCACAUGCAGCACUCCUGCCCCCCAGCUGCUGUGAGGUGACUGUCUCCUUCUGCAGGGACUCUCAAGGUGUUUUGUCCCACUCAACGCUGGGGCAGCCUAUCUGGCUGGUUCAGUACAGGAGUGGAAGCCGCAUCUCCUUCCCCAAAGGCAGGACACCUGGUGGAUGGCCCCUGAGGAGCUGGUCUGUGGGAGCUCAUCCCUGCCUCACCUGCUGCCGCUCCCUCAUGCUGUCCCCUGAGGCACAUCUCCCCCGCCCCAGCCCCUGUGCCAGAGUCCCCACCUCAGGUUCCACCUGACCCAAGACGGGAUCCCACCUGGUCCCAGGGCUGUCCCUGAUCGCUGCUGGAGCUCCAGCUGUUUUUAGCCUCCCAGCCUCAGUGUCCUCACGGGGAGCACAGGCACAAGAUAGCUUCACCCUCCUAGGCGGUUUAGAAGUAUCAAGGGAGGUUGUGGGUGUGGCAUUCCUUCUUCCAGGCUUCGAAGUCUGGUGUAGCUGAGGGCCAUCUCCGGAGACAAGAGGGAUCCUGCCUGCCCCCCUGGUCCUGUGUGCUUGGAGGGAGGAGAAUGGAGGGGGCUUGAGGGAAGAAAGGAGAGGGAGUGUGAAGGGUACUUAUUCUCACUCGAAGGGCAGGUUGGGCAGAGCAAAUGGCAUUUGUGGGCAGUGGUCCAAGAAAGGGGCUUAAGUUCGGAAAUGAUGGUGGCCGAGCUGGUAGCUCCUGAAAUUGUGAACUACAGAGCCUUCAGCCUCACAGGAGCUUGGCCAAGGCAGUGCAGUUUCUAGCUCUUUCCGAUCCAGCCUCCUUUCAGACCCAGCUCAGUGUGUCCUCCCUUUGGAAGGCUUUUGUAUCACAGCAGGCAAGACCCAGCAGGAGAAGGUCUACUAUACACAGUGGACACACAAAGGGAUGUUGUGUGCACUUCACAAGGCCCCUUCAUUCCUCCCACAGGGCUGAGCUUCCCAAGGUCAUUUCAAAUAGGGUAAGAUUUGAGAAGAACAAUUUUGCUGCCAAGAAUCUACCCAUUUUGUGAAAGGUGGUAGAACCUGCCUUCACUCUGCUGAAGGGUCAUUCAUAAUUAUAGAUCCAGAUGUGAAAAUGAGAUCUAGGUUUAGAUCCCAGCUCUACCUUGAACUAGAUGUAUGGUCUUGGGUAAACCACUGAACCUCUUAGAGCUCUACUUUCUUGUCUGUAAAAUGGGGAUUAUAAAUGGGGUUGGUUGGGAGGAGCAGUGAGGGGAACACAGAGCCUGACCCACAGUGUAAAUGUCAGUGUUUGCACUUUCAGUUACUCCUCCCUUAUGUUUUCUGCCUGUUCUGGUUCCGCUUGAUCCCUCACUCUGUUCCUUAAAGGCAUCUUUUCCAGUGCUGAGGCGUUCAGUGUCAGCUGUGCUGGAAAAGUAGAGGCAGACGGGGCUGAGCUGGAACCUCAUGCAGCAACUUUCCAGGGAAAGGUUGUAGAGGGGCCCCAGGCCUGGGCAGGGGAUCAGAGGCACCAGGCCGGGCGUUGCAUGGGGGACAGUUGACAAGUCUCACCUUUUCAUUGAUGCCACACAUGGCAGUGGCAGCAAAGUAGAUUUUGGAAUUUCACCAAGGAUUUCUCUUUAUGAGUUACAGCUCUGCCUGUCAAACCAAGAACUACUCCUUUUUUGUAGUGCUAAAGAUCGAACCCAGGGCCUUGCACACAGAGAACCCUCAUUGGAUACCGAAAUAUCCAUAUGGAAGGUAAUUUUAUUUUCCCAGCCCCAGCAAAGGCAGGACUUCAGAAGCAGUCAGCUUCCAGCUUCCUGACCAGAUGUAUCCUCCUCUUUUAUAUUAGUAAGUUUCUUCCAGUAGAUGUUCUGCAUUUAUACACAAGGCAGGGAAAAAACAGCAGCUAAAUAUAGCCUGCACCAGUGAGCUGUGGUGGUCUGAAGAUAGGGAGUGAGGAGGGUGGGUUUGGGCUUUUGUGCAGGCUCAGAAUAGGGAGAAUCUGUGGGCCCCUAUCAGACCCUGGUUGAGGCACAAAAGCAGCAGAGGGUCCUAAUGUGACCUCAAAAGCUCUGUGACCUUUGGCAGUUUAUACCACCUCUCGGAGCCUCACUUUUCCCCUCUGUAAAGCAGCAUUGUCACUUUAUGAAGUUUCCAGUUUGACUUAUCCGCACUUCUGCUUUCUAUCAGGGGACAAUGCCUGAGAAUGAGCAAGGAGCCUCUGGUGACAUCUAACAGACUUGUUUCGCUGGUCUCAUUUUUUAGUAUCCUCCCAAAAGUUGACAGGAGACAGUACAUGAAGGGAAAUGUUUUUGGUUGUUGUUUUUUUUUUGGUACUGGGGAUUGAACUCAGGACCUUGCACUUGCAAGGCAGGCAGCGAAACCACUGAGCUAAAUCCCCGGGCCAGAAAUGUUCUUUAUUGACCACUAAACCUUGAUUCUUGAGCUCUUAGAAUUAAGAUUAUAAUUUAGUUCUACAUACAAAACAGACACACACUUCUUGGAGAAGUGUUUUGCCUUCUCUUCUUAAAAAGAGACAUUAUUUUGUGGUUGACAAAUCAGGUGCUCUGGGUACAGAUACCUGGGCCUGCCACGUGCUUGCUCAGUAUCUUGAAUAAACCCUUUUCCAAGUCUCAGUUUUCCCAUCUAUAAAAUGAGCAGGAUACUUUCUCCUUGGGCUAAAUGAGGUGACAAUAAGUUGAGUAUUCCCAUUCCACACAGUCCCAUGCUCAGCACCUAAAUAUUGGCUGCAGUGACCAUGAUGACUGCAGUGCCGCUUGGAAAGCCAUCCCUUGGGAGCAGGGUGGGGGUGGGAAGACAGAAUGUAGGCUGCGUGUCCUAGCGAGUCCUGCCGUGGAUUCACAAAUUUCCAUCAGAUUUCCAAAUGAGAAGGAUGCAGCUGAGAUAAGCCACAUGCAAAGUGCAGUCCCACAAUCCAAAAUAAAAGGGAUGUAUUUAUAUACAUGUGAGAGCACAUCUUGGUAUCUCAGAAACCAGGCAGAAUAUUGUAAAGCAAUGUACAAUGGCGUAAAAUAUCAUCCCAAUUUAAUCCAUCUAUCUAGGGUUCCAUCUAAUUACUAUACUAGAAAAGUCUUCAGACCAUGUAUUGAACAUUAUAAAUGGGAAUAAAAUGAUUCUGGUAAUGGCUUAAUAAAGCAGGUGAGGUAGCUCCGUCUGUCUGCCUGUAUCCUUGGACCAUGGCCAGAUUGAUUUGUCAGGGAAGGAAAAAAAAGAAGAAAUGGGUUUGUGUUGUUGCACUUUGGAGAUUGUCUCCAUUAGGGGCCUUUGAUUUUAUUCUUGUUUUUCCUUAUGAGAAGUGGUUAUCGGUUCCUUUUGUUAACAGCAAAAUAUGUAGAACUGAUGGAAAAACUGACAGCAGCCGUUUCAUAUUUUAUAAAGCCGCUCCCGGCUUGUAAUUUGCUGGUUGGGAUGAAUCGAGGAACCCUGAAACUCCUGGCAAAUUUGCAGCUGAUGACUGCAGUCUUGUCCGAGGGUGUGUAUAACUGCUGAAAUUUCGCUGCUCUGAGGAGCUGCAGCUCAGGGAGGUAAAAAUGAGCCCCAGGGUAAGAAAUUAUACAUCAGUCAUUUGAAGCCGGAGUUGUCCAAUCAGAAGAGAUCUGAGAUCUUUGUGCACGAAAUCACCUUUUCUCCUUGUGCCUAGAAAGCUGCUUGCUUUUGGGGGGAUCUCAGGCUUUCUGUACAGAUCAAACAAUGGCUUUCCCUUCUCGCCUCUCUUCAAAUGCUCAGUGUCUUUGUCUUCUGCCCUGAGCCUUCUGUCCCCAUUCCUUAAAAGCUGCCAUUGUCACUGAGACUUGACACAUCCCCAGCCUGAAUUUGCUCCUGGUUUGGGGACUGGCAUCCAGUGACCAGUGACAGGAAACCACACAACCCGUUGGUAUAUACCCUUCCCCGCUUCCAAGUGGCCACACCCUGAUGGAGGAGGGAAGAUCCCCCUUUUCCCCCCAAGUGCUUUGCAUGUUUCCAGCCCCAAACUCUAAUUUCUUCCUCAGACUAGACUAAUGUGGGUGUUGGAGGUUAAAUUCCAGCACAUUAAGGAGGUACCCACCUCUCCCAGAGCCCUGGUAUUCGCACCAGGCGUCAUCCAUGUUGUCAUGGCUACGAGGGCCCGGGACCCCAGAGACUGAAGCACAGAAUUAAUGGCAGUCCCGAGUAAAGGAUUCCUGUCUUGGCGAGGUUGAUGGAUUACAUUGAUGUACCAUUUGUCAUACUGUAAUUGUUCUGGCAAAUGUAAUACCCACUAGUAUAAACAUUGUACUGCUUUGCUAAUAAAACCCAAAAUAGGAAGAGAAAGGAUGAUACAGUGUUAUACUCACUUAAAGAGACAAUGCCUCCUUUCCAAGUUGGAGCUCACUUCUUUUUCUGGAGGCCUCACAUGCCCGAUUCCUUCUCCAUCGAUGUGCAUGCGUGUGCUAAACAGUUGUCUGCCACCUGCCCUCCCAGCACGCUUGGCGUGGGCCACCUGGGCUGAGCAUGCGGGUAUUUGAAGGAGGGGGGCCAGCAUUCGAGGUACUCAGUUUCCCGCUCCAUCAGCACUUCUGGUGAUUCCUCUUCUUGGGUGUAGUUGUUGCCCAAAACCUCUUUGCCUUUCUUGGUGUCUGCAAGGUUUUCCUUUGGAAUCUGUUUAUUUAAGUUGACUUCGAGUCUAAGUCUCUCCGCUGGUGGGCUGCUACCCCUCAAGAACACUUUUCUGACCCUGCAGACCCUCCUCUGAGCCCUCACCUCACUCAAGCCCAUAUGUGUACUGUGCUCGGCUCCCUCCUGUUAGAUCAUGAGGUCCUGAAAGGCCAAGACCAACCACUAAAUGUCGCUAUCUCGUCCCUUCCCCACCCCAACCAGUGGUGCUGAGAACACUGUGUGGAACACAGGUGGUACUUAAUGAAUGCUCAGGGACUGACUGACUCAGUGGCUCCCCACUGACCACAAGAGGCUUAACCUGAAGCCUCGCUGGCCCAUGUCAGGAUUUCAGGACCCCAGAUGCCCACUUGCCUCCUCCACAGCCGAUGGUAAUACCUGCUUCUCCCUGGUGGUUCUGAGCUUCUCCAUUUUGUCUCUGCCCUGCCUUCAUCAAUGGUCUUCCCACUCAGGAGACUGCCCUUGCCCCAUGCCUUAACUGGUUAACUCCCAACACAAAUGUUACCUCUCCCAGAAACGCUCCCCAGCGCCCACACUGGGGGAGGGUGCCCCUUGGGCCCUCAGCAGCUCAGGCUUCCCUGUGGCAAGGAGCCCACGCACAGUGGGAGCACAGCAUCCUCCCCUGACUUUUGCCAAGAUACCUUUGGCCAUGUGUUCACCUGGAGCCCCACCCAGCUUGAAUUUCCUGUGUGCAUAGGAGAUCAGUGAGUGACCGAAUGCUUUUCACUGCCUCCACCCUCCUUGAGUUGGGCUCACCCAGCCAGGCAGCAGUGGGGUAGAACUGGGGCCCUGUCCACAGACCUUUAUCCAGACGGCCUGGGUGUGGGGAAAGUGGGCCAUCAGGAAGCUCGUGAUCUUGUCACUAGAUUGGGCUGCGAAGGAAUUGAGCUGGGCCCUCACCCUCUCCCCAGGGAGGCCUCUUUACCCAUCCCACUUUCCUGCCCCUGGGAUAAACAGGGCAGAGUCUUAUCUGGGAAGUUGGGGAAGGAUGAUAUGGUGGAGGCUCUGGAGGCAGCUUUGGCCUCCUUAAUCUCAUCAGCGUGAGCCUUUUGAGCCUGACUCUCCCAGGAAGUCUUUGAGCCAUCAGCAUGUAUCUGUUUGACCCCUGCCCUGACCACCUCCCCUCAGGCUAUGGGCAUGAUUGUGGAAGGGCCCACACAGGGUCCCUGAUCCUGUAUAAUGUUGUCCGGGAUCACUGGUGCCCACAUCUUAACAUGCUGGUCCCUUUUACUCUGUGCAAAACCCUCUACUCCAAGGGCCCAGCCAGCGGCCCUGGUGCCCUCUGAAGUUCUGCUCCUGUAGGGAAUGAAUUGGGCUACAAGCAACUGCAAGCCUGGUGAACUGCACCUUAAACUCAUAUGGGUGCAUUUAUUAUUUUGUUUAAUAUCUGUCUACUUAGAGCACUUUUAGGUUGACAGAAAAAUUGAGAGGAAACCAGAGUUCCCGUGAAUACUGGUUCAGGGUAUACGAAGUCUCCCCACCAUCUUCAGUCCGUACCAGAGGGCGACUGACCUUUGGUAUAGCUGAUGAACCUACAGUGACAGGUCAUUAUCACCAAGUCCACAGUUUGCACUAGGGUUCACUCUUGGGGUUGCAUAAUCUUUGGAUUUGGACAGAUGUUAAGUAAUGACGUGUCCACUGUGUAGUGUCAUACAGAGUGGUCUUGCCGCCCUAAAAACCCCGUGUUCUGCCUAUUCAUCUCUCUCUGACUCUCUCCUCCCAGACCCUUGUAAUAACCGAAUGCUUCACCAUAGCUUUUCCAUUUUCAGAACGUCUUACCAUUGGUGUCUUAGUCUGUUUUUUGUUGCUGUAACAAAAUAUCUGAGACCAGGAAAUGUAUAAGGAACUGGAGGCAAGGAAGUCCAAGAGCAUGGUAUUGGCACCUGGUGACGGCCUUAUUGCUUCAUUGAAGCAUAGCAGAGAGCAUGAGCAAGCAAGACAGAGCGGGUGUUCAAGGUUGGGUCUCUCUUCUUAUGAAGCCACUAAUGCUAUCAUGGGGGCCCCACUCUCCAGACCUCAUCUAAUCCUAAUUACUUCCAAAGGCCCCAUCUCCAAAUACUGUUACCAUAUGAAUCCAGGGUGGAGUUUCCAACACCUGAACUUCAGAGUGAUGCAUUCAAACCAUGCAGUUUAAAUCAUAGUGUGUAGCCUUCUCACCCUGCCUUUUUUUAUGUAGCAGUGGGCAGAGGUUCCUCAGCGACUAUUCAUGGCAUGUUAACUCAUUUCUUCCUUGUGUGGAAUAAUAUUCCGUUGCCCAGAUAUAUCCCCAUGCAUUUAUCCUCUGAGCUCCUGAAGAACAUUGUGGAUGUUUGUUUUUCUGACAUAGCAGAGUCAGAGGGAGGCCACCUUUGUCUUUUCAUUUCCCCUCUUGGCUUUUUCAACUUUGUAGCUCACUAUGUCUGUUCCUCCUCCAGGGCUCAUGUCUGCAAGCCAGGAAGGAAUGAGAUGGGAGAGCCAAAGGGGCAGAGAGGGAAGGUUUUCUCCUGGUAAGGAUUUUACCUCUCAGUUCAGGAAGGGAAGCCUCAUAGGGGACAUCACCUCAUUGUCCAGGACUGGCCACUCGUAGCUGCUGGGAUGGAGCUGUUAGAAGAUGGAGCUAUGGGCUAAGUCGUGUCCCUCCCGACAUCACAUGUGACAAUCUCGAGAUGUAUUCAAGUCUUUGGCAUCUCAGAGUGGGCCUGUAUUUGGAGUAGGGUCUUUAAAGGAGUAAUGAAGUUAAAAUGAGGUCAGUAGGGUAGGCCCUCAUCCAGUAUGACUGGUGUCCUAGUAAUCUGAGGAGAUCAGGACACAGACAUGCACUGAAGGAGGGCCAUGUGAGGACACAGCAGAUGUAAAUGUUCUGGAGGCAGAUGGUGGUGAUGGCUUAAUGACUGAACAUCACAGUUCUUGACACUUAAAAAUGGUUAAAAUCACAAGUUUUAUGUUGUGUGCAUUUUACCCCAAUAAAAGAAUUCUACCUUUAUUACUAUUGCUGCUGUACUUCUAGUAACAAUAUUAUUCUGCUAUUAAGUAAAGCAGCACUGUAUUCUUGACAUAAAUUAUCUCACCUAAUCCUCCUGCUGAUCCUAAGAAAAAGAUCCUGUGAAUAACUAGGGAAGGGCACAUACCUACAGUACUGAGCACUACUGAGGCUCAGAAAGGUUAAAUCAUUUGUCCAAAGUCACACAGCUUGCAAGCAGCUCAACUGGGCCUUAAACACAGGGUGUCUGGGUCCCAGACCUGUUCUCUCACCCACACUAUUCUAGGCUGCCCCAGGCUUUAGUUAAAGCAAAGUUUUCAACCUUGACACUAGUGACAUUUGGUAAUCCUUGGUUGUUGGGGGCUGUCUCCCUUUUAGGGUGUUUAGCGACAUCCCUGGCCUCUCCCCACCUGAUGUCAGUAUCAUGACCCCCGACCUCGAAAUGAAAUGAUCCAAAAUGUCCCCAGACCUUGCCAGGUGUUCACUGAGGGGAAAAGUCAGCCUGGUUAAGAACCAGCGGUUUAACGGGGGCCUCCUGGCAAUGUGGAGGAUAUUGGAUAGUUGCUCACUUUUAAAGUCCAUCAGUCCAUGGAGAUCUGCUGUGUAUGAGAGAGAAUUUGAAGCGGGGAGGGCACAGAUCCUUUCUUUUGUCUGUUGGAAGGGUGUUUUCUGCAGGAGCAUUCCAACUCCCCACACCCUCUUACCCUUAAAAUGUUAGGACAUGUGGAACAUCCAUUUUUGGUGUAAGACUGGGCACACCACCCUCAGAGCUUACACAGUGCUCAUUUGCAAGAUGGUUUAUAUUAGCAAGAAACAGCGCCAUCCAGGGCUGGGGAAGUGCACGGCCUGUACGAAGUGGAAUUGUAGCCUUUCAGGUAAAGAAGUCUAGGACACUUUGUUUAAUGAAUAAAGCAAGUAGUAGAAUGUGACCUCGUUUUUAUGAGAAAUUCUUCCUGUGUGUGUACAUGGUGGCUGACACAAAGAGAAAAGCCCGGAAGGGUUUCCCAGGGGGUCAUGAUGGUUUUGUUCACUGCUGCACCCCCCACCCCGGGCCCUGGCACGUAGUAGGUGCUUAAUUAUUAUUUCUUCAUAGCCAAAUGUGAAGUGGCAAGGCAAGGCUGUCAGCUUUUUUCUUUGCGUUUUCCAUCAUUUGAAUUUUUUAUAACGAGCAUAUAUUAACUUUGUGGCUUUAAAAAACCUUCCUCCAAAAAAAGGAAAUUAAAAAAAAAAAAGAAUCACGGCUUGAACUUGCCUGGCUCUUCCUUCUGCAGCGCUCGACAGGCACGUGCCUGUCUUGCCAAAGCCACGCAGAGAAACGAGGCUGGUGUUUUAUGGUCCUUGUUCAGUCAUGCAUUGAUAACAUUGGGCUUCUGAAGAAAGCUGCUGCUUUGUUCGUUUCUCUCACUUUGGUUUUUCCCUUGGGCUUUUGCAAGAGAGCAGAAACCAACAGACAGGAGGAAUGGACAGGAAGGCAGAAGGGGAAGAGAGCAGGGGCCUGGAAACCUCUGUCUUCUGCUCCAGGCGGAAGGCAGCUGGGUGGACCAAAUGACCUCUUGGUGGGGACUGAGCAUCCAUUUCCGUGGCUUCCUCCUUCGUCCUUGAGAUCUUCCCAAGUGCUGAAGGAAGCUUGGGGAUGAGUGGAGGAGAGGGAAGAAAAAAAGGAAUUAGCAUCUUUUGGGAAGCAAGUUUCUGGAUCACAAGGAUGAGGGUUUGGGGGAUCUUGUGGGGGGGUUGUUUCUUGGUUUUGAGAUGUUUUGGGUAGCAAUGUGAGGAAGAAGAGUCCCCUUCCCAGUCUUACGAUUUCUAAAUAUUCCAAAGGUCUUUGAGUUUGUACAACUGCAUCUCAAAUGUUUUUCAAAGUUUACAACUGACCUGAUUCAUAGAAAAAGAUAAACACCCUUCCCAUGUUUGGAGUCAUAUGUAAUUUUUAUCUCUUGACCUUUAAAUGUAAGCAGCAGUAAAAUGAAGAACUAUUGCCGUCAUUUAACACUCCGGCUGUACUAACUGGUUCCUGCCUGAGAACCGUGGCUUUAAAUUGGCUAAUGCAGAAUACUUGCAGAGCUAAUAAUAAUUCAGAUUAUUCCUGUCAGCUAUUCCGGUUUCAUGGGUAAUUUAGUAGUUGAAUAAAUUUUUAAAAAAAUUCAUUCGUUACCAUGCGCUGUUAUGAAUCAGUAGAUGGUUUACCAUUGGCAGCAGUAACUGUAAGAAGAUUUAAAUUGCUACUGAAAAGGAUUUGAGUGAAGGUAAUGUUUUAUAAUGUUCUAAGCCAUAUGCACUACUUUCAGGCCUCAUCAGUUUUACAUUGAUUCCUAGUGAAGUGUUUAAUUGCAUCAUGAAUGCAAUAUAAUUCAGUUCUUUCUGCUAAUAUGGUAUAUAUCUCAAAGUGAUAUACAGCACUGACAGGGAGAAUUCGCAGUUCCGUCUGGAUUUGGGAGGGCAGCGAGAAAUGGGGGCCUACUGGAUGCGUGGAGGGCAGACGCCCCGGAGGAGGGCUGCAGCCAGGCUCCAUCUUACUGACACUAGGGGAGUGUCACUGCACGUGUGGAGAGGCGGGCUGUGUCUGUCACUGGCUCCUGCUGCUACUGGCCAGCGAGAGGGGGGUCUGGUGUGUUGGCCUCCCCUAGGAGGCAGGGAGAUCCCUCAGCUGGCGAAAAGCUGCAGUGGGCUGGCCAGGCCCAUCGUGUGCUGAUGAAUUGGCUCCGGGGAUCUCACUGGCUGUUUCUAAGUGGGGACUGAGGACUGGGCUUCUGCUGCCAUUUGUUUAAUCAUUCAGUGAAUAUUCAUUUAGCACCUACUGUGUUCCAUAGCAUUUGGUGGCCAGGAAUGCCUUUUUGGGAGCUGGGCUUGACUCAUGUCUGUGCUCGGUUUUGAUAUAGGUCUCAAGGGCCCCGAAGCAAAGGCCUAAAAGGGGCUCAAACCUCUCACCCCUGCAGGUGCCACAGGCAGUGGCCAGACACUGAGACCUCAGCUCCUGGGGCAGACUGCAGGGUGUGUCCCCAGGAGGGCACAGCUGCUCCACAGCUCCAUCUGUGUCUCCAUAGGUCUGGUGUUAUUGGCGUCUUUGGUUUCUCAUGAGACGCUAGGCAUCCGGAUUUGUAAGCAAAAUCACCCUUUUAAAAAAAAAAUUUAUAUAUUAAUUGGUACAUUUUAGGUAUACAAUGCGUUUCCAUUUAUCAUUAGGUGCUUGUACCUGAACAUGAUGAAUCUUGGUUCUUAUUUUUUUCCCCAUUACCUGUGCACCCUUCACCCUCACCACCCUUCCCUAUUUACAUAGAUUUUGUUUCCAUUUUUUUUUCUUUCUCAUAAUUUUUCCUUUCCUUUCUUCCCUUUCCCCUUCCCCUCCCACCACCCCAAAUCACCCAUUUUUAAAGAAAAAUUAAAACGUAUACACCAUACAGGCCAAACUAAAUGCAGUAUGUCUGUGGGCACAGCCUGCCUGAGGGCCACCUGUUUACAGUGUCUGUUCAUGGGCAUGACUCUGCUGUUCAAGUGAAAAACAUUUGCUCUCGGCCGACAAAAUGUAUGCAGUUCGAGGCAGUGGGACUCUUGACAGGCUGGGACGUCGUUCUGUGGAGCAUCGGACUCUGAGAGUGGGGAUUGGGGGGGCCGAUGAAGGAGGCGGCUGCUUCCCAUCUGGCGGUCAUGGAUUUGGGGACAAGCUGCCCGGGAUGGGACAGGCAAGCCUACUUGCUGCUUCCCUAGAAAUGUAAAGGAGGCAUCUUCGCAACAGAACUAACAACAAGAGGGACAUUGUAGCCUGCGGCUUAUAACAUGGCAUCCGCGGCAGAGUGGAGUAGUGUGGAACCUGAAGAUGGUAGGGAGGGGCAGGAUGGAUAGAGCUGGAGCAGACGUUCCCCUUAUGCUUUUUCUUCUCUGAAUCUCAGCAGGCAGCCCAAGGCUCGGGGCAGUCCUGUAGGGAAAGCCCCUGGCUUCCAUUUCUAGAAGCUUCACUGGCUACCCUCCUUUCAGGUGGAAGGAUCCAGCCUUCUGAAAUGCGGUGUGUGAAAGCGAGACUCAGGCUAGCUGGCUUUCUCUGUUCAUUCAGAAAUAUUUCGGAACUGGGCAUGUUCUGGGGAGAUUGUGGUGACCAGGACUGAGGGGCCUGCCCCGCUGAGCAUCUCUACCAAAGUACGAUGAGAGCAAAUGAACGAUGAGAACACAGAUUAGCUCAGAUACUGCUGACCUCAGCCCAGCAGCAUCCACUUGACCAUACCUUGGUUCCAGCCUUUUAAAAAGUGUGUCUCAGUGUAUUUGUCAAGGCUGCAAUGACAAAGCGCCACCAUCAGGCUGGCUUACCACAGAAAUUUGUCUUCUCAAGGUUCUGGAGACUAGAAGUUCAUACUCAAGGUGGUUCCUUCUGACGCCUCUCUCCUUGGCUUGUGGCCAGUCCUCUUCAUGAUCUGAAGCCGUCCACCCUCUGUGCUUCUGUGUCCCAAAUGUCCCCCAUUUCAUAAAGACAACAGCCAUAUUGGAUUAGGCCCACCCCGAUGACCUCAUGUGAACUUGAUUUCCUCUGUAAAGAGCCUGUCUCCAAAUCAGGCCACAUUUUGAGGUACUAGGGCAUAUGGAUUUGGUGGAGGGGGUCAAAAUUCACCCCCUGAAACUCCACAUAUACGUAGUAUGGGUGUGAUUGCAGCAAGGUAGGAGGACUUUCAGCAAAGGGAACCGGAAAACAGUGCCCGUGUAUUCUCUUCAGAGAGCUGUCUCUGCCAGCCCCCAUGAGUGAUGCUGGUCACGUCCAUCCCUCUGGAGCAGGACCUUCAAAGCAGAGUUCAUGCAUUUUCAGCCAUCUGAUCCUGUGUAGCCACAAAGCAGCAGCCCGGGCCCUGGGGCUCCACCCUCAGCCUGGCGCCGAGAUGUAAUCAGAGCCUUCUUUCUACCCCCACUCUUGAGAAAGGCCAGCCGGGCCACCUUUUUGAUCAUCGUAACCUUGACACAGAAGAAUAAUUUAUCCAUGCCCCCAGAUGAGGAAAUUGCAAAAUAUUAUUUAUGAAGGCGAGCCACUACGUCGUAAUUCUGGCCCUGUGUUGCUGGAUACAGCUGGCCGUGAGUGAAGACAUGGGCAAUGUUUGAUACUAAAAUGGGACGUCUUACCCAUGAGAUGCAGGUGUGGGGGAAACAGGAGUGAGUUCCACUGGAGAGACCGUGGGGAACAUAUCAUUCUGGAAGUUGAUACAAACUAUCCUUCCAGGUACUCCCAAGUCCGAAGUAGGAGGACAAAAGUCUCCAUGAAAAUUAGCUCAGUGGCACUGCACCUGCCUUGCAAGUGCAAGGUCCUGAGUUCAAUCCCCGGUACCAAAAAAAAAAAAAAAAAAUCAAGGGCAUGAAGGGGAUGCUGAACACGAAAUAAGGGUGGGAAAAUGUGUGUAGACCAUUGUUUGGGGACAUGGCCUUGGUUCCGGGGACUUAGGAGAUUAUGUAGCACAGUAGUGAUGAGCUCUGGCUUUGUAGUCAGCCAGGCUUGGGUUUGACCCCCCAGCUCUGUCACUUGCUAUGUGCCAUUUAGCAGGUCAGAUCUGUAAACCUUAGCUUGUUCAUCUGUCCAAUAGGAAUAAGAACAAAUUUAACCCAGGGAUUAUCUUGAGGUUAAUGGGAGAUCGUGCAGAUAUAAUGAAAUUGUCAGAUCAGUGGACCCCACUUCUUACUUGGUAGCAAUUAAAGUGAAUGGUGAAGGCAGCUCUGAGCCACCCAGCCUGGCUUUGCAUCCCUGUUCCUUACUGGCUGUGUGAACUGGGGUGAGUCAUAUCACCUCUCUGAACCUCCAUUUUCUGUAUCUGUCAAAUGGGUAUAGAAAUGGUUCCCGUUUCCUAGAGUGGGCUUGCAGGUGGAAUGAAUGAAUGACAGGAAAGGGCUUAGAAAAGUGACUGUCACAGAGUAAAUGCUCAGUAAAUGUUGUCUGCUCAUGUUACUUCCUAGGCCACAAUCUGCAGUAGUCUUCCUUCAGAGAAGCUGUUCCCAACUUUGACUCAGAUUUAGAAGCAGCCUGUCCCCCAUCUGCUGACAAUGUUAACGACAUGCUUAGUUUAAAAAUCUGAACAGAUUUGCAUUCCUUGUGAUUUGAAACAUUCUCCUGAGCAUUGGUAAGUUUCUCCUGAGGUGACAAGGGCGUGUGUCCCCAGGGGAACUGCCCCUGCGUCUGUCUGCUGCAGACAGGAUGGUGGACUCUGACAGCUCUGAACACCCAUGUACAGAACCAGAAACACCACCAGCCGUUCUCAGGCACCAGCCAGAAAGUUCAGCCCAGCAAACGUUUUGCAGCCUCUCAGCACUUUGCGGUUCUACCAAAUUAGUGUUUGGUAUUGAAUUAGUAUUCAUUUUCUCUAAUAUGAUAUAAAAGUAUAAUCACAUUAGUGACUUUUAUAGCACAUUAGAUUAUACAUUUGGAACAUGUCCCCACUUGAAACAGCUUACAAAAAAAAAAAAGAAAGCAGCCAACAACAAUAACAACAAGCGAACCACUCUCCGUCCUAGCUCACAAGUCCUAGCUUUUCAACUGGGCUGCAGCAACCUGGAUAGAAAAUGCUUUCCCUGCCUCUUGGUCCCCACAGAGAAAGAAUUUUCAUUCCCCUGCCCUGAUUUGUGAAGCAGUGCUUUAAGACCUGAAUAGUCGUUCCAAAUGAAUGUUUCUUUAAUCCCGGGGCAGAAACGUAGGCUGUGCUGGAGAUGUAAUUAAUAGCACUAAUUACUCUUCUCUUGUUCCCUUUCCUUCUCCUGCCCUCGCCCCCACCCCCAAGACACCUGGCGAGAUCCCCCGGAAUGUUCACCUUUGGUUCCCAAAUGCUCCUGGCCAAGGAAACCAGCAAGCUCAGAGCCCACCCUACCCUAGAGUCCCUGUUCCAAAACAUGUUCCUCUACUUCCCAGUGGUUCCUCCAGUUCUGGGAUUUCUGGGCUUUCCAGAAGGUUAGAUUUUCUGUUCCCAGCUGUUGUAGUGACUCUGCCAGUUGUGAAGGGGAUAUUUCAGAGCAGUACCAGCAGCUUAGAACCUGACUUUCCCAAGCAUCCUUCCCUGCCAGGACAACUUCACUGAGGCACUGGUACAAACACAGGAAUUGUUUCUCAGAAAGAAUCCCCAAGGCCCUCCCACAGACACUCAAAACCUGAGGGAUCCAUCUGUAGCCUUGUUAAGGCCAAAGUUCAACCCCCACAAACUGUUUCCCAUUACAAAGAGUACAGGAUUCCAAAGCUUUCCACGUACAAUAAAAACUGGGAAAACUGGGGAAAGGACUAAGAUGAUGUAUUGGUACCUUUCCUCAUUCCUGAACCACAGAGAUGAGCAGAACCUCCUGAGAUUAGGGCAGGCUUUGGCAGCAGGCUGCAUUUUAUGUGCUGACUCCAAAUUCAGCAGUAGCUUUCUGCUUGGAAAAGGAUUUCUAGACCAGCUUCUGGAUCAACAAAAGAGGCCCAUGCAAUCUUUAAAUAUGCUAGAGCACCUACUGUAUGCCAAGUUCUACUGUCAGCACCAGGGACACAGCUUUUAACCAGGAUCCAGAAUCCUCCUGUAUAGAAAUUCAAACUCCAGUGGGUCAGCUUUUGUGAGGCUCAAGCACAAGAUAGAGCUUGCGUCUCUAAAUGUGCUAAAUGCAAUGGGAAGCCACUAGAGGAUCUGGCUUAUGUUUAAAGGAUUUCUCAAACAAGCAAACAAACACCCUGGGUUGUAUAUGGAAAGUUGAUAGGAAAGAGGACCAAGUUAGAAGGCCAGGUUCAAGGUGAUUACAGGUAUCUGUGCAAGGAAUUAGGGAUGGAUAUAAAUUGACUCAUUGACAGGUUUGAAUGGUAUUGGCAAUCCAUUAGUAAUGUCUGCCACAGAGGCAGUGGCCAACCGCAUACUCUGUAUUUUCUAUCUCUCCCUUGAAAGUCAUUGGGAAUUGGGGAAGAUGAAGGGUCAUCCAUCCAUGGAUAGUAAUUUGUGGCUUUAGCAACAGUGACAGACAUUCUGAGAGGUGUAUUUGAAGGCGGCGGGCGGGGGGGAUUUGCCAGAUUUUGAGGGAGGCGUUAAGCAGAGAGGCAGGCCAGUACGUGGGGGUGAGAUGGUACACUGUCUCAACCUGAGAUUGAUGGGGAUCAGACAGGCAAGUGGGACCCUUAGAAGAUGGAGAAAGUAGACCAAAUACCUAGAGAGUUGUGCAGGAACCCAACAUGCUUCCAUAGAGACACAAUCAGGAAGGCUCAAGAAAAAUAGGCAAGGAGGGCCGGGGAUUUAGCUCAGUGGUUUCGCUCCCUGCUGCACAUGUGCAAGGACCCGAGUUUGAUCCCCGGUACCAAAAAGAAAAAGAGGCAAGGCAGGCAGCUAUCAGUGCAAUUAAAAAAAGGUUUUCAAUUAUAUCAGGUGGAAACAGGGUCAGAGACAAUAUCAUCCCCUUUUCCCCACCCCACAAACCAAAGGACCGAGCCAGUGGUAAAUGAUCAGUUGGAAGUGAGUUUGGUUUGUGUUGCUGUUGUUUCCUGUGAACUCUGUUUUCUCUACGAAGAUCAGCCAUGGUCAGACACUUAGAGACAGGGAGGGCAGUGAAAGCCAGCCUGGGGCUGGAAGGGAAGCCUGGCUUUGAAGGGGGAAGAGCUGCUUUGAAAGCUGGGGUGACCCACAUGAGGAUGUGAAAACAGCAGGUGUCGAAGGGACCAGGAAUCUUAGCACACUAUUUUGUUUUGUUUUGUUUUAAGAAAUACUUUAGGAUAAGAGAAAUUUCAUAAGAUUAUGAUAUUGAGUAAGGCCAUACAUAAUCUUUUUCUAUUAAAAUAGUCUGAGGGCAGCCUUUAUGAGUUUGGCCCAGUUAGCUCAGCUUCCAGGCCUGGGGGGAGGAGGGCAUCCAGAAAAACCGUCAAACUGUGAUCCAGUCUCUACCCUUGUACCCUCGGCCAUCACAGCCAGCAUCCUGCCUUCGGGCAUGAUGUUUAGCCCUGGACAACAGAAUUCCUUCAUUAGCAGACAGGCUGGCCACAGAGACAGAGGAGCACAGGGCCCUGGGAAGGGCCUCAAGCCUGGCCAGCAAUGGGUCCCCUUACCAUGCCCAGGAAGGUGUUGACAGACCCUACCAGGAACCCAAGCCAACAGCUCCUGCCAGAAUUUUAGAAACACUUCCCAAGGGUUCUGAUGCUAGGCCAGAUUGGAGAACAUCUGGGGUAGACCAUUUUAAAGUGUGCAUUUUUCAAAGAUAUAUUCUUCUAUAAGCACCAUACAUGUGAUUUUACAAAUUGUGAUUAAAGCUGAAUUUGAAUGAACAUCCAGCCACCUCCUGGAUGUGAGCAUGUAGAGGUCCUUGACUUCCCAUGGUUCAACUUGCAGAUCUUUAACUUUAUGCUAGCACAGUGGUGUGAAAAUGAUACGCAUUCAGUACUUCGGAGCUUGAAUUUAAACCUUUUCCCAGGCAAACUAGAUACAAGGUCCAGUCCUCUCUCACAACUCUGGGCAGUGGCAGAGAACACAGCUCCCUGUCAGCUCCACAACCCUGAGGGGAGCAGCCAUCAUUUACAGUGUGCUAGAUUGUAAGCUCGGAUGUUCAGAAGGUAGGGUGUACUGAAUGCAUUUUCCUUGUCUGAUAUUUUCAACUUACAGUGGGCUUGUCAGGACACGUCCCCAUUGUAAGGCAGGGAGCAGCCAUAUUUCUUAACCUGUUUUUGCAGAGUAUUUUGACCCGUAGAUAGGCGUGAAUGUGCAGAUCCGCCACCCCACCCCCGUCACAGUAUUGGGCAUUUGCACUGAGCUGCAAGGCGUGACUAAAAGAUAUAAGAAUGCUUACAUUUUAAAAAAAAACUUAUGUAAAAACACAUUGCCAAGAACAAUGGAAUAAGUACGUUCAAAUUGAGGGGAAAUAUUUUGGAGGGGAUUCUUGGCGAUGUGUCUUUUAGUGUAAUAUAUUUUAAAUGUAAACAAUCACCGCAUUUUUAUCACACCUCAUUAAUCUAAUAUUUAUGUCAAUUUCUGUUCAAUAAAAAUGUGAUGGUGUAUCCUUAUCCACCUUAUUCACUGGAUCUGGCACCGUGUGACUUUUGCCUCUACCCCAAAGUUAAGAUGACAAUGAGCAAUAAACAUUUUGAGUUGAUUGAAGACAUUGAAGCAGCCAGGACAGCACAACUAAAGACACUCAAAAGAGAGGACUUCCAGAACUGCUUCAGAAUCUGGCAAGAACAAUGGGAUAAGUGUAUUUGAAGUGAGAGGGUGCAGUGUGUCUUUUACUGUAAUCAUUUUUUUAACUGAAAUAUUCAUCACAUUUUUUUUGAUAACCAUUCAUUUCCAGCUCUUUUUAUUUUUUACUUCAAGAUAGGGUCUCACUAGGUUGUCUAGUUGUCCAGGCUGAGCUCAAACCUGGGACCCUCCUGCAUCAGCCUCCCAGAGUGCUAGGAUCACGGGUGUGCACCACCAUACCCAGCUGUAGCUCCUUUUUAAACAGAGAAAGGGCUAAGGAUGAUUCCUCCUUUCCUUCAGGACUAAUUGAGAAUAGCCUGGGCUCUCAGCAUGGACAGUCUCAGUGGAGGCAGGACAGAUGCCAAGAGUGUAAGCAAAGUAGGAUAGAAGAAAGUGAGUCUGCAGCAGAAAUAAGCAGUGUGCUGGGGUCCAGCAGUGGGAAGGGGGUACUGAAUGGCCCCUGAAGGGGAGUAGUUGGGACAGAGGAGGGCGUGUCUGGGAUAUGUGUGUAAGUAUGUGCCAAUGUCUGCUUAUGUAGGUGUUGGUAGGUGGGUGUGUUGAGUAGUAUAGGGUGUGUGCGUGCACAUGUGUGUGUCAGAGAAGUUGCCUCUGGGUCUCAGCCAGUGUCACUGGAGCUCAGAGGGGUCGGGAAAUGUGGGCAAAGGCAGGAUGGCACACAGCUCUGGGGCUCUCUUAGCCACACGGAGGGGCCUGAGCUGUUGUUCCAGUGCCCAGGCAGCAGAUGGAGAUAUACACGGAGGAGUGACAAGAUGCAGCGACCUCUGCAGAGAUCUCCCUGGAAUAGCAUCAUGGUGGGCACGCCAGUGGCCCAAGGAGGCUGGAUGGUGGCCAAGUGGGGCUUGGCUUGGCCUUGGAAGUGGAGCUGAUGGGCUUACUGGGGCAUGAGGUAAUGCGGUGGGACAGAAUGAAUGAAAAUGCCUCCCAGGCCCCAGGACUGAGCAGCUGGCAGAUGCAGUUUGGCCUCCUGAGAUGGGAGAAAUGGUGGGAGCAGGAGGGAGGUGGAAGUUCACAAUUGCCUCUUGGCCCUGGGAAAUCCGACAUGCCUGUGGCCUGCCCAAGGGGAUAUCAGGUCCACAGUGGACAAACGAGUGGAGCUGAGUCCUGUGGACUGGAGGUGAAACCCAGGCUCUGCCGCAGGUGGAACAGGCAGGUUUCCCUGGCUCAGAAGCCCCAGGAUAGAGCACUGAGUCACUGGGAGGGCAUUUAAGCUUGGCCACUUGAUCUCUGUCCCCCCAUCCGUGAUCUUACCACAACCUCACGGGCAUAGACACCCACUAAAAGAAUGUCCUCUCUGGGGACCCGGCCAAGAAUGAUCCCAUGCCACAGCAGCCGAGCCACAUGGUGCUGGGGCAUUUGUGAGGUUUCUCCCCUGGUGGUGGAAGGUAGGACUGGCUUCCCAGGCUGGUUCCUGUCACCCUUAUCCCAGAAAAUAAGGAUACAUUUUGUCACUGAAUUAAUGUCCCACACACCUAAAAGGAUGCUGGCCCUAAAAUCCCACACUGAGCAUUUUCCUGUGAGUCAGCUCAGUUCAUUUUUACAACAAACCCUGGAAAGGAGGCCUAUACUUAUUUUCAUUGUAUAGAUGAGGAAACUGAGGCUUGGCAAAGGAGUCAUUGUACAGCAGUGUGGUAUAGACAGGGUUUGAAACCAAGCCAGUUCAACUGCAUACUGUAUGCCAAGCAGAGACUAAAUGUCCUUUUUUAAAGUCAAAACAACCCCUCAAUGGGGAUUGUUACCGUGACACCCAUUAUACAGAAAGGGAAACUGAAGGAAGCCCAGAGACAAAAUGUUUUGCUUUGAGUCCCUCGAAGCUGCUAAGUGCCAUCACCAGGACUCAAACUGAGGCCUGUGGGAAAAUCUAAAUUCUCUCCCAGACAUGUGACCAGCACCUGCCUCCCUUCCUGACAGUACAAGUCCCUGUCUCUUCUAGCCCAGCCCCAAGCAUCCCAGUGACUAUAAAGGGAGGAGGUGGGCUUGAUCUUUAGGGCUGCACCAACAACUCCCAGACAAAGCUUCCCAAAGGGACAGGAAUGCAGAGGCUGGGGGCCCUUUGGAGCUGUGGCCAGGCCAGCUAAGACCCUGCGUCGCUAGGCGUGGUCAUCCCUAGAGCCUGCGUGUGCAGCUACAAGCGUGCAAGGGACGGUGCUCGUGCUUAUGGCCCAGCCCCACCACAGAUGCACAGCUUCAGCCCACUGUUUCCCGCUGCUCACUGAGACAGCUCUGUCCAUCAGAGCCUCAGCGGGACAGCAGUGAACAGCUCGCUGCCAGAGGGAGUCUGUGGGAUUUACUGCUUGCUUCAGCAAAAUUGUGUGUGUGUGUGUGUGUGUGUGUGUGUGUGUCUGUGUGUGUCUGUGUUUCUUGAACCAUUAUUGGAAAAUCAUACCUUGAUUUAGACACCUACUACUGAAGCUUCCACAAGACCUGUGUUUGGUUAGCAGAGCUACUAAGAGCAUAGGAUUUGAGGUCACGCUACUGAAUCUGAAUCCCAGCUCCACUGCUUACUGGCUGCAUGACCUUGAGCUUGCCUGCUCUUAAUUUCUUCAUGCCUCAGUUUCCCCAUCUUGUUGAGUUGCUAUAAGAAGUACAAUAAACUGUACUGUAUCUGGCAUACAGAACAUGCUCACUGUACGCUAGUUAAGUAUUGUUUUUGUUGCUGUCUUAAAACAGGUGCUUCUGGAAAUGGCCAGGUAGCAAAUAUUUUCUGCUUCACAAGCCCUGUGGUCUCUGUCGCCUCUAUUCUCUUCCAUUGUGACAAGAAGCAAACCAUGAACAGCAUGUCAAUGAUUGCACAUGGUUUUGUUCCAGUCAAACUUCCCUCUUAGUUAUAUCUGAACACAAGGGAGAGAAAUCCUUUUUUCUCUGUGAGCAUGUGACCCUAGGGCUGCCGGAGGCCAUUUUUUCCUAGAUUAUGGGGAGAAGUCAGCCGUGGUGGGAUAGGACAGCUCAGGUGGAAGCAGCCACUUGCCCACUUACAUCUGACUCACUCCUCUCUACCAGCCAGGGAUCAAGGUCACACACUCCACCCAGGAGCAUCUCUCAGUUCCAACAGAACCACCUGCCACCCAUAGUUUUCCUAUGGGCAUUUCUCUUUCCCUUUCCUGGUUGUAUAUCCUUGAGCCAGGUAUUUCCCAGCUUAUUUACAUGAACUUUAUCCACUUUAACUGUAAAUUAGGGUUAAUCAUUAGAUCUACUGCAUGGAGUCAGUUAAAAGGACUAAGUGGGUUAAUAUUUAUAAAGGGCUUAGAGCAGUCCCUGCUGUGUGGCCAGUACUAUAGGUAUAUGCUAUUAUUGUUGCUACCUGGAGACUGAGCACAUAGACCCUCUCGAGUUUUCCUGCUAAAUGAGGGAACCAACAGUUCCCUGUGGCAGGGACUGGAACCCUCAGCAUCCCCAGUAUCAGCCCAGGACUGGUAUUGGGUGGGCACUUAGUGAUUUGCUUAGCAAAAAGCAGUAACAGAAAGUGAACACAAGGAAGCUAUGUGGAUUGGAGCAACCUCCAAGGUAUCGUGGUUCUGAGUCAUGCUGUAAUUAUUCUGGGGAUUUAUAAAACCUUUAAACACUGAGCAGUGUUAGGGAUCUUAUGAGCAGUUUGGGAAUUUAGACUCUCGCUACUUAGUUUGGCCCACAGUAGACCCGUAGCAAGGGCACCUGAAUGCUCAUGAGCCAUGCAGGUCUCCCCUGGCCUCCUAGAACAGAAUCUAUACUUCAACAAGAUCCACAGGUAAUUGACAUUAGAGUCUGAGCCAUCUGUGCCAAGAGAGGAGGACGACUGAGAGAAGUAGCACCAAGAGGGAGAGUCAUGCCUUGCUAAUAUUUUUUGCAGUGCUGGGUCAUCUAUGCCUGAAGCUACUCCUGCACUGUUCACUUACAUAAGCAACAAUGCCCUUGUUCUGAUUAAGCCACUUUGUAGAUGCUGCCAAUAGGACCUCUGUAGGGGCUGUUCGUGGGGGUGAUGUGGGACCAUCAGUUGUUUUAUUAGGAACAUAUGAUGGCUGGAUGGGUGGACAGGAGGAGAUUCCUCCUUCUGCCACCUGGGAAAGGAGAAGUGGGAGGUCAUGGCGACCACAAUGGGCUGGGCAUCAGGAAGGUCUUCAGAGCCAGAGCAGUGAUCUUGGUGGGACAGUGGCCUCAAACAGUAGUAAAGAGGGGUGAGCAUGGGAGAUGCAAGUUUUGGGCAGAAGUGGACACACACUGCUAUCAAGAAGGUCAGUGUUUUGUGCUAAUGGGGGUGUGGAGGUCCAGUGCAGAGAGCGUGAACAUUGAAGUCAACACAGCUCUCUCGAUCCUGAUGCUGCUGCCACUUGCUUGCUGUAUGACCCUGGGCAAGGAAACAUGUCUCUGAGCCUCAUUGUUCUUGUCUAUAAAAUGGGGGUUAAAGUGACACUGGCUCCAUAGGGACAAGGGCAGAGGGGAUGUAUCAGUGACCAGGGCUGGUGGCAUUGCUCCCUGGCUCCAUGUGUGGUGACAUCAUAGUGGGGCCUUGAAAUCCACCGAGGCUGGAGAAUUUGCACCAUGGAAGUGGUGCGCAGCAGAACUUUCCUGCCCGACCCCCCCAAAGCUGGUUGUUAAACAUUUACCAGCAUGUUGCUGGUUACAUGACAAGGUGUGUUUAAAUUGCCAUGCCCAGGGCUGGGGUCCAGGCUGGUUCCUAAUUACUGUUAUAUUAAGUACAUUGUUAUAGCAUCAUAGAAAAUGUUUUUCAUGGUCAGGCUUUUCAUGUGCCCACUUUGUGACAGCUGUUUUAGCUGCUCGGAGGCCCUAUUCUGGUGUCCCUCUGGUUCCCAGCCCUUUCCUGGAAAGCUGAGAUGAUUGGUUACCUGAGUUCUGCACAGAGAAAGUAUUAUAGUUGGUAAUACCUGAAAUUAACAUUUAUUGAACAUGAACUAAAUGCCAGGCACUGGAAAAGCACUUUUUGUGCAUGUUCUUAUUAGAUUUCCCCAAUACUCUGUGAGCUAGAAGUGGUUCAGUGAACCUCAUAAUGUGGAGACGACUAGAGCCCAGAGAAGUUAAUGAGUUAGCCUGGGUUACACAGCUGCUUGACGGAGGGGCCAGGCUUUGACCGCUUGCACUUUGACCCUAGACCCUGAGCCCUCAUCAGGUGGAUCUACAGAAGUUAAAGGUGGAGGGAGCAGGUGUUUUGUCCUUGGGGUAUGGAUCCCCUCCUUGCUUGAAGGCCUGGUGGACACCGGGCAGGGCUGAGAAGUCCUGGCAGCAUCAUCUGCUUGGUGGACGGCGUUGGCCCAGGUUUCUGGCACGUGUGCAGCGGCGUUCUGAUCGGCGAGGGGAUGUCUCUGUUAGAAGGGAAUCUUGGCCUCGUGCCUCUUGGCAGCGGCCUCUUGGCUGCCACGUGGAGUGGCGUUUGGAGGCGGUGGGAAUUACCAGGCAACUUUGCCGGGAGAGCUUGGAGUGGAGUGUGGUCCAGCUGAGCGGGGGUGGGGGGUGCUCUGCCUGUGCCCCAGGCAGGCUGGCAGAGCACAAGAGAUCAAGCACUGUCAACGAAAAGCCACAGAGCUCAUUCUCUCUCCUCCCUGCCUCUGUCUGUCUCUGCCCCUUACCAUCCCUCAGCCUCUCUGCCAGGACUUCACAGAGCCAGUCAGAUGACAGGUGGUUUGGCAGUGAGGGCCACCAUGUCUUUUCCUUCCACUGUUCCCCAUAUCUCUCCAGAUGAAGUUCAGACCCCUUGGGGUGGUUUGAGAACCCUUGUGAUAUGACUUCUGCCUCCUGCUUCUGGCUUUUGUCUCCUUGGUAGGCAGUGAACUUGAGUGGAAACUCAGCUCUCCUUUUUGUGCAGUGCCUAACCCGGCGCUUACCGGAACACACUGAUGACCUGGAAAGGCCGGGAGGGAUGCCUGUCCCUUUGGUGUGGAGAGGGCUGAUGCCCUUCAUGACCUGCAGUCACUGCCAUCGCUGCAUCUUAAGGCUGACUUAGCACAUGCAAGGUGCUGUGCAAGGGUCUGAGUCAGUGGUGGCGAACAUAUGGCAUGUGUGCCACAGUGGGCACCCUGAGCCCUCUCUGCAAUGCUGUCACAGGUUGUAUGAGUUGUUUUUUCUUAACCAAAACCUCAGUAUUCAGGUGUAAUUGCAGUUUUGGCACUUUUGCAAGUGCAUUUUGAGUUGUAGUUUGGGCACUUAGUCUAAAAGGUUCACCAUCACUGGCCCAAGUGCUUUCUGUUCUCAUAACGACUCUAUUAGGUAGGCUGCGUUGUAUCCUCCUUUUACAGAGGAGAAAACUGAGGCACUGGGAGAUUAAAUUACCUGCCCAAGAUCACCCAUCUAGGACAUAGCAGUGCUGAGACUUGAAUUCCAGCCAAUCUAGAGCCCAGGCUGGCUUGAGAAGUUUUUCCUUCAACCACUUUGUGACAUCCCAUACCAGCUCAGUGUUGUCCCCUGCCACUUUCCCAUGGCCUUACCAGUGCAACCACGCUGCUGCCGGCUCGUCCCUCACCCCAGCUCUGUGCCCAUGCACACUUGACAUAGCAGCCUUGGCAAUCCCAGCCCUACUGGUCACCCCAAUGAAGGCAGAGUGCAGAAGACUGGGUUGUGGAAGGUGUAAUGGGCCCCUCUCUCUGCCUGUCACCUUUUCCCUACAGAUGCCAGGGCUGCUUCGACAGUUAGGAGAAGACCCAGACCAUUCUAUAAGGACUGAGAGGUGGGAUCUUUGGGGAUAGGAGAGACGCCAUAAGUCAGUGCCUUCCAAAGGGGACCUUGCUUCGUACUUGAACCUCACCCAGUCAGUCGAGGUGACUGUGCUCUCCAGCGACUGAUAGCUUCAGCAUGCCCUGGCAUCACUCAACACAGACCAGCAGUCCUGUGCAGAGAAGUCAUGUUGCGUUAGCAAUUCUCCAUCACACUGUGUCAUAUCAGGACUGUAUUGUAUUCACAGUUGCUUCUGCUAAUGUGACACGAAAGUUACUAAUCUGAGGAGACUCUUGAGCAUUGUAUCAGGGAAAACAAAUAUUAAUGUGAAUCGAUGGAAGUGGCUAAUAGGAAACCAGGUUGGUUAUGUGACAUGAUGGGUAGGUGGGAGGAAUUGGGGUUGGUGCUUGAGCUUUUCUGGAAGGCUUAACAGAGUUGGGGUGCAGGAGCUCCAUGGUAGUCACUCAGAGAGUUAAGAUCAGUGUCUUUCCGUACAAUGUCACUUCCACCCCCAGACCCUCACCCUUUUACUGGGUUGAAUCCUGUCUCCCCAAAAUUCCAAGCUACUCAGACCCUUGGGAUAGGAGCUUGUUUGGGAAUAGGGUCUUUGCAGGUGUCAUUAGUUAAGGUGAGGACAUUCUGGGGAGGAUGAACCCUUAAUCCAGUGCCAGAAUCCUUGUAAGAAAGCCUAUGAAAAAUAGACACACAGAGAGGCACCUGUGUAACAACAGAGGCAGAGAUUGAAGUGAUGCAGCUACAAGUCACACAAGCCAAGGAUGGCCAGGGCCACCAGAGCUGGAGGAAGCCAGGAGGAUCCUCCCCAGAGACCAGAGCAAGUGUGGCUCUGUCAGCCCUCGUCUUGACUUUGGACUUCUGGCCUCCAGAGCUGUGCGAAAGUCAUUCCUUGUUGCUGUAAGCCACCUGGUUUGUGAUAAUUCAUUUCUGCAGCCCGAGGAAGUUAACAUACCCCUUUCCCAUCACACCCCAGAAAAUCAGGGAUGGGAACAGUAGCACUUAUUUAGCUCAGAGAUAGCAAAACAUAUCAGGGAUGUUCUUGCAGCCAUGGUGGGCUGGCCUGGAUGCUUAACCAGACCUGGGGACAGGGGCCUUAUUCUCUGCCCUGCUUUUUUCUUUGUUGAGAUGGAAAAGGCCUCUCUGUCGCAGGGUGGUUGGCAUAUGGGCUCCACAGCCUGCUUCGCGUCACGUUAAUAUGUGAUUAAAGGGGUCUUAAAACACCCAUUAGUCCCCCUCUGGUAUCUAAUAGCACUUUUGGAUUUAGAACAGAAUAUUAUUUACUCAUUAGCUGAUAAUAGACCCUGAGUACACGCUGUAUGUAUUGGGACAAUUAUUAGAGUCAAUUACACACAGAGACAUGGUGCUGCUGGUGUCACUGGUGGCAGGACAGGUGCUCCAUUGGGCAUGGGGGUGGCACAGGAUGACCAACAAGAAAAGCAGAGGCUUUCCUAGAGAUUGUUCAGGGGCUACAGCAGACAAAAAGGAAUUCCAGAUGCAAACAGAGCCUCUUGGAGGCCCCAGUGGAAGGGAUGUUGAGGGGUAGGAUUUGAGAUAACGUCCAAGAAUGGGGUGCCAACAGCAACAGCCCUCUGCCCCACAGCAGUAAGGAGUGGUACCCAAGCAUGGCCCAAAUCCCCCAAGAUGAGAGUAUGAAUUACCAGUGAAUGCCAACACCAGGAUCCAGGGGUGGCUGGUUUGCCCAAGACACAGAGUAAGUAGCUCGGUGCAAACUCAGAUCUUCCUGUGACAAGACCUGGCUUCUUUGCAACAUUCCACUCUACCCACUGCAGAAACUUCUAGCUGAUUCCAAGCUUCCUUUUGUUCAGUGGAAAGAGGAAUUCUAACCCAUUUCCUCUUGUGUUUACUUUGUUGGAGAGAUGAAGGUGGAAGGUUGUGCCUCUUAUGGCUGGGUCCUUAGCCUCAGGUCCAGUGUACUGGAAUGGCAGAGGUGGAGGAGGAGGAUUGGGUAGGGUCAGGAAGCAAGAAAAAUCAGCAGUGACCGGAUUCAGCUAGUGGUGGGGGUCAGUGUCUCUACUCAAGGUAUCUGGGAACUAGGAUGGAGUGGGAAAGCAGGCAGAGCCCAGUGAAGUUUUCUAGUACCCGGGUGAGGCCUUUUGGUGCCUGAUGGUGUUGGCAUCAUCAGGAGGGAACAGACCCUGGAGAGACCCAGCAUCUGUUUUGCAGGUGUCUUUGGCUGAUUCCUCUUGUGGUGAUGAAGGUAGAGAAGUUUAGGCAGCCCAGUUUAAUGAGCAUGAUGCAGUGUGCAAAGAAAGUUCCAAGUUUGAUCUUCACACAUCUUUGACCUUAGCAAGCCUGACCUUCAGGUCAUCAAUUUGCCAUGAUUUUGCAAGUGAGCAUGUAAACCUCUUAGUACAUAUGCUUUUCAUCUUAUGAUGAGGAUGCAUCCUAAUGAACCCAUUAUAAUAUGAAAAUACUGUAAAUUGAAAAUGCAUUUGAUACACCUAACCUCCCAACUGUCCUGGCUGAAGCCCAGGAAGGGCAGUCCUUUCAGCAGUGUGGCCACCAGGGACACCACAGGAGCUGAAGGUGGGUGCCAGGUGUAAUUAGGGACCCAGUCUCUCCUUUGUUAUUGCCUGAGCUAAGAAUAGGCUCCUGUGAAAGACUCUCAGGGUCGCUAUCCACUGCCCUGGGAAGGAGCCAGGGAGAGGGCACAGCUUGGCAAGGGUGCUCCCAUGUCAUCUCCCGCCCCAAACAUGUGGGUCCCAUACCUCAGCCAAGCCAGAUAAAUAAGCCAGUUCCCAGGGGUGUGCGGCAGGUAGGGGUGUGUGUGUGUGUGUGUGUGUGUGUGUGUGUGUGUGUGUGUGUUAAUAAAACUCACCAGGAGCCAGAUAUCAAUUUCUGUCAGAGAGACGCAGAGCAUCUGAACCAGAACUAAAUAAAAAUAAACAUUAAACAAUUAUUGGAAUUUAGGUUUAUUUAAAAAGUCAGCGGGGUUGAGGGAACAAGCCACCCAUUAGCGAGGCACAACUAUUGGGCCUUUUAACAACCCGCUGUUUCUUGGCUGCCAGAGAGAUUUGGGCUGUCCAAGCUGAGGAAACUCCGGAUCCUAUUGAUUAAAGAUGAUGCAGUAACAGGCCAAUUAUAUCGUGGCGGCUGCUUGUGGCGCUGGCCGACCCUGGCUUCCCAUUUGUCUUUAUGGAAAUGGUUUUGUUGGGGUUCUUAGGGAGGGUGGCAGAGUGUCCCCAUCCUGAACACAGCUUUCUACCUUCCAUGGCCCCUGCAGUGGGAUGGGGGCUUCAAACCCUAGCUGCCCCAGAUUCAUGUGUUUUUCUCCUCCGGGUCCCCUCCGUAGACAUCGGUAGUUCAAAAGAAGCCUGUGCCUUGUCAACCAAAUCAAUGCAAAUAACCAGUGAGCAUUUCUCAACUUUUCAGUAAUAAUUGAUCUUCCCAGAACUGAUAAGGUUUGGAAAAUGUAAGCAAGGAGAGCAGCAGCGAGCCAGAUGUCAGCAUUAAGAGAAUAUAAUUGCUCUGAAUUAUAGGAAAAGAAAUGAUUUCCCUUCCAGCCUUAGCUCCAGAAGAGCUGAGCAAAGUGUCACGAAGCACCAAGGAGCUUCCCAUAAACUCGGGGCUUAGCACAGCCUCCGUCUCUCUGCAAGAAGAUUUGGGUAGCUGCGGGACUAGAAUCCUCUGAGCUGACAGGCAGAUUUCCCACCUGCAAUUUUUUUGGCCUCCAGGUUUUUCUUUGGAAAAUGUCUGCACAGCCAGUGACUGCUGGGGAGGGAGAGAGGGAGAAAAGAUGCACCACCCUUCUAGAGAGACAGCCAGGUGCAGCCAGAGUUGUUGGCCCAGCGGUGGCGGUCUCCUGUGAGCUCGUUUCUUCUUCCUCUUUGCUGCUGUGAAAGUCAGAUGGGACAGUGUCUUAGUUACUUUUCUCGUUGCUGAGACAAAAUACCCAACACCCAAAGUUAAAGGAGGAAAGGUUUGUUUAGCUCACAGUUGGUAGAGGUGUCAGUCCAUAAUCGGCUGGCUCCAAGGCAGGGUGGCAUGGCAGAGAAGAAACAGUUCGUGGUGGGCAGAAGGUAGUAGAGCAACAAGGGACGGCCACAGCUCUUUCUACCUCUUAUGUCUUAUCCAGGCUACUUAGGGCAGGUAGCACUCAUGCCCUUAGUCCUACUGCCCUUGAUCCUAGCAUUGCGCCAUAAAUCAAUUCCAGCAUCACACACUGUAGAUCCGGCCACCUCUACCUAUGACCAUGAGAAGCUUUGGGGGCACAUCUAAACACAAGCCAUAACAGACAGACGGGAUGGAGGCAGGGAUCAUCUAUGGUUCAGGGGGGUGGAGAAUAGGAUGCCUCGGGCACUUUCAUUAUGAGCUUCUCAUUCUUCCAGGACUCAUUCAUUUGUUCAUUCAAGCAUUCAUUCAUGUGCUCCUUCAGCACAUCAUUCUCUGCCAGGCACCUUAGGUGCUGGGAGCACAGGGGUGCCUGCCUUUCUGGCUGUGAAGGCGUAGACACUGGACAGUUAGUGAUUACAUCCCAGUUGCCACGGUGCUCCAUAGAAAUGAAAAGGGAAAACUGAGGGCCAGACCAUAGGAAUGUGACCUCGUCUUGGAGUGCUGGCCUUGUGGAGCAGUGUCUAAGCCACAACUUGACUGAUGGGUAGGAUGGAGCAAGGCCAUAGGUUGUCAGACUCAAAUGUGCAGUAGAGUCACCUGGAGGUUUCCUUGAAAGGAAUGUCUAACCCCAUUCCCGGACCUUCCCCAUCACUGGUUCUGGAAGCGGUCCAAGAAUUUGCACUUCUCAGAAAUUCCUGGGUGACACUGAUGGUGCUGGUCCAAGGCCCACAUUUUGGGAACCACUUAAGUAUAAAUAAGAGGAGAGGGCAUUCAAGUUGUGGAAACUGCAUGUGUGAAGGCCCUGAAGUGGUAGGAGCUUAACAGUCUCCAGGAACAGAAAGGAGGGUCAGAAUGGUGAGAGCAAAGUAAAGGGAUGGUGGAGGAUACAUUGGAAAAGCAGUCAGGCUCUGAUCACACUGGCCUGCACGCUGAGCUGGAGAGUUCCCGUUUGAUCUGAAAUCUGGGGAGGCUUGAAGCAGGAAGGGCCAGCAUCUGGUUUCUAUCUUAAAAUGUCCUUUUUGGUUGCUGAGAGGGAAUGAGAUGGCAGAGAAUUAACUGCUUGGGGCGGGGGAACCCCUCAUGGUGGCAUCCAGGCAGUGACUGGACCAGGCUGGUGACAGAGGACAUGGAGAGGCACAGGACAUGUCUGAGUGUUUUGAGUCCAGCCUCCCACUUCCCAGGAUCAGCGUGCGUCCACUCUUCAAUCCCAGAAACUCAUGUUUUAUCUGAGGAAGUCAUACGUUGAUAGCGACAUUGUGGUCAGAGCUGACUCUAGCUUCCCUGCAGCCCCCUGCUGCCACACAACCCCUCUGACAGUGGGUGGGUCUAAAACACUUGACCAUUGACCAGCUAGGAUCCCGCCUGUGACCUCAUUUUCCCAAAUAACCUAGGGGAAAAGAUGGAGUUGGCCAAUGCCAAAAAUUGGGGUUCGCAAAGGGUGAGGGAUUCUCCCAGGCUCACCCAGCUGGGGUGAGUAACAGGCAGGGCUCCCCACCUGGCCUGAGAUGCCAUCUGCUAGGCAGACACGGGAGCUGACACCUCCAAUGGAGUACCUCAGAAGGUGACCACAUUCCUCUCCAGUAGCGUGAGCCAUCUGUCCCCAGGAUGCUGGCCAGUCCACCAGAAACAUUCAGAUGAAAUUACCACUUGGGGGCGGUCAUAUGGUCACAUAUCAGCAGUUUCCUAUGGUUCAACCUAAAUCAAAGUACGAGGGGGUUGCAUUUCUAGAAAAUUCUGCCGCAGCAGGAAGAAGAGGAACGCUGUGCAGUCUGAACCCUCUCUGUGAGCCACUUCCCACAUGCAAAAGCUGAUGAGGGGCCGUACAGGGAUGCAGCAUCUUAGAAUCAGUCUAUAAUGCAAUCAAUUUUGUAUAUCCCUGGUGAAACAGCAACAUUUAUUUAACGUCUUUUAUAGAGCAGCUGAGUUUUAUCACAAAUCACAUUCCAUUUCUAUUCAUCUGGGACUCCUUGAAGGCUAAAAUGCACUUACUUUUCUCAGAGGAAAUUUACCAAUUCCUCAAUAAAGACCAUUUGCCUCUGUAUGUAAAAUUGACACAUUUAUUGAAUAUUAAACAUUUAAGGGGUUUUUUUCCAGCUCACCCACACCUCCUUAUACAUUUCCACGAAGCUUCAUAGUCACCAGGCUUCCCCGAAUGGUGAGAAAUGGGACAUUUAAAUUGGGGCUUUCUUAUUACUGGAAAAUGGUCGUGUUACAUCAUCAACGUAUACGGCAACACCCAAGCUCAGAGUAGCCUCUUGAAGCCAUGUGCUUUUGCUGUCUCUCUGUGGUAGACUUGGUCACAGGGCCAUACUGUGUUGGGUUCAUGAUAAAAGUUUUUUUGCCUACACUUGUAACAUUUGCAGAAGGCAGGCACUGCCUCCCUGACAAUAAAUUGUGCUAAUUAGCAUGAGGGCCUAUUAAUAAAGCAAGUUUCCUUUUAUCCAUGUUCCUGAAUGGUUGGGGACAUCAAUUAAAGUGCGUGCUUGGGACAAUGUCUUUUCACUGCUAGUUGCUCUGUUUUUGUUUUAAGAAAAAAAAAAAAAAAAAACAGGGGGCUGGGCAACUGAUUGUUUUUGUGUCCUCAACAUGAGAGAAGGCUGAACUGUUGAACUUGGGGCUCAGUCACCAGGUCCACAUUUCCUAACUGCGAUUCUCAAAGCGUGGUGGGGGAGGGCGGUGAUGGGUGCUUACCCUGGAUUUAAUUUUAAAUUAAAAGCAUUGGGAACUGUGCUUUAGAGCAAAUGGGUUGAGUUGGAGGGGUAUCUCAUGAGGUUGGCAAGCAGGCAGACUCAAGUUCAAAUCCUGGCUUCUCUAUUUACCAGCUUUGUGACCUCAAACUAGUGAUUUUACUUCUUUGAGCCUCAGUGUCCUAUACAAUAAGGAUAAUCACAGUGCCUAAGUCCUAGGGCUAGCGAUAGGAUUAAAAGAGAUGAUCUAUAAGGAAGUUCUGGAAGGAACCUCAAACCCCAGCCCCCAGAUUCAGGCUUGAGUUUCCUGCUCACAGAAAUCAGUUGAUCAGUUGAUGCUGGGAUGGCUUUGGGGACGAAGGACUCACUGCUGGUCACCAGGGCCAUCAUCCUUAUGUUGGUCUGAAACCUGUCUGUGGGAACUUCCUUUGCUUACCUGGAUCUGAGCUUCUCUCCUAUCUAGUCCUCUGUGCUCCGAGGGAACCACCUGUCACUUUUUGUAGAGCCACGUGCUCAGCGUUGUGCACGGUUGACAUUUCAGACCGGGUGGUUGUUUGUUGCAGGGAGUGCUGUGGGCACUGCAAGGUGUUUAUCAGUGUCCCUCCCUGCCCUCUGCCCCUAGGUCCCCAUAGCACCCCUCUCCAGUUGUAAUAAUCAAAAUAUCUCCAGAGGGCUGGGGCUCAGUGGUAGAGCACUUGCCCAGCAUGCGCAAGGCUCUGGGUUCCAUCCCCAGCAUUACAACAACAAUAAAAAGUAUCUCUGCCCACUGCCAAAUGUGUAGGAGAGUCCUGAUUGAGAACUACCAUUCUAGAGUUUGGGUCUUCCCAGUGCCGGCCUCCUCCAGCCACGCACGUUCCAUCUCUCCUCACUGCCCCCUUUUUCAUGCCCACCUGCCUGUGUGCCCAACAGAAGCUACAACUCAGAUCCUGAGAACCCAGUGGCAAACACCAUGAGAAGCCAAAUCCCAUGGCCUGGGUUUUUUUAGGGGGUGGGGUGGGGGUUGUGUUUUUUCCUGCAGCUGCCUUUGCUGGGCUUCCUCAUAGGAAUUUCCAGUCUGGGCACAGGAAUGGUAAGUUCUGGGUGUCUUGAAGCUUCUGUCUAUUUCUUUUUUUUUUUAUGGUACCAGGGAUUGAACUUGGGACCUUGUGCUUGCAAGGCAGGCAGUGGAAUCACUGAGCUAAAUCCCUGGCUUGAAGCUUCUGUCUGAACAAGAAGAGCUAACUUUUCCCAGAGAGAAGGUCAUGGUCACAGCAGGUCUCUGUCUGGGGUUGGCCCAGGUCUGGGUUCGCAGACUUUGCCCCUGGCUAUCCCGGUAACCAUACUUCUCCGAGCCUCACGCAAAUAAUGGGACAAAAAUAGUCACUGUCACAGGGGGCUAUUGCCACAAUUCACCUUCUCACCUCACAGAAAUCUGUACUAUUCUUAUAUUUUUUUAUGUACCAGUCAAAACAAUAAUUUUUAAAAAUAAUAAAACCAUUUAAAAAUCAAAGAGUCACUCCAUACAGAAUGCCCAGCAUAUAGUAAGAAAUCAAUGAUUUUUUGCUAUUAUUUUUUGUUAUUGUUGUUGCUUACAAAUAAGAAACAUACAUCCAAAGAAUGAAUGUAAUUCGCCCAAGGUCACCCUGCAGGUCAGUGUGAAAACAUCGAGCCCAGCAUCUUUUUCCAGAAACCCCAGGGUUUUCCACAAAGGUCUGUGUGUGCAUACAGAGGAAGAGAUUCGAAGAGAAUCCAUUUUAUGUGAUUCUCACCCUAUUAACAGCCCUCGGUUUUGCCAGAAUAUCCUCUUUUCACUUUCAUUUUAAAAACCCGCCAGUGUAAUAAAUCUUGCUCUGAAAUCUCGGCAGCACAUCUUGGCUGGAGUGUAUGAUAAAUCUAAUAUACUGUGGCCUCUCUGUAUGAGAGACCCUGGGACAUAUCUGUAUUUUGGGCGGACAGCCCCAUGGUCUGGCAGGAUUGUAACUUGCUCUUGGGUUGACAAGACCAGCCCUCUGACUGGGUUUAUCUCUGCUCCGCAGCUUCCCUGGCUUGAUGAGGGUAGACUCACAACCCUUUCCUCUCCUUUUCCACUUUCUUUCCUUCUUCUCUCUUUCAUUUCUUUCCUUCCUUCUUUCUAGUCUGGCUGUUCCCUUCUCACAUUUCGUUCACAGAAUGUGACUCAGAACUAGGGAAGAAUUUGGAAGGGACUCAGCUGGGGUUGGGGGAGGCCAUAGGGCACCCAUUUGGACUCUGUAGACUUGGGGGACACUGGCAGAGCAGGACUCCCUACUUUGAUUGCUCAGCAAAUAUUUCUUUAAUACCUCCUGUGUGCCUGACAUUGUGCUGAGAGCUGAGUGUAGAGUCGGAGGCCAGUGGAGAGGCAUAUUUACAGGCAGCCAUCCGAAAUGAAGUCCAGUUAUGGAAGCCCAGGAUGAGAGCUCAGAUGUUCCUACAGUCAUGGCAUCUUAGAUCCGGACCAGAGCAUGGUGGGCAUUCGCUAGACUCAGGGGAGCCCACAGCCCAAGAGUGGGAGUGACAGGAGGGCAGGGGCCAACAUGGGGCAGGGCCAGGCUGAGAGGGGCUGGGCACAGGCCCAUCAGGCUUUUGCUCCUACCUGGGACAGCCCAAUCCAGAGGGUUGGGAGGAGCAGUUUCUUUUUUCACAUUUCCUGCCUGGGGCUGGAGCGGGAGCCCUGUGAGGGGCUGGGACUCCCCUCCUCCCCUCGGAGCCCUGCAGGAACCCAGCAAAGCCCCUGGAAAACCUGGAAACAGUCUUCAAAGGGGUCAGGACUUUGCCCAGUCCCAGCCCCACUCCUCACUGGCCUGCUUACUUCCCCAUCCCGAGCGUGUUUCUCUGAGGCGCCCCUGUGAAACAGGGGUAGUGUCAGUACCCCUUGUGGAGGAGUAUUAGAAAGACAAGUCAUCGCUUCUCGGCCUUUUGGCUGAGAUCAAGUGUAGAAAGACAAGUCAAGGAAAUGCGUUUUGGGUACACAGAACAGGGAACUCUAUAAGCACCUGAGAAAUGUUCAUGAUCAAUUUUAUUUACUCACAGCAUGGCCCUCAGAGGGUUAACUUUGCCUCUUAGGCCUCAGUUGCUAAUCUGCAAAAUGGAGAUAAUAAUUUUCUGGCUUCACAGUGUCACUGAGAGGAUGAAAUGAGUCAGAGCCAUGCCUGGCACAGAGUAGGGCUGAAACGUUGUAGCUGUCACUACUGGUACCGUCGUCAUUGUUACUCCUCUCUCCCCUUCAGUUCCGCAUCCCAGGUUGGUCACAGGCUACAUGACACCUGCCUCACCAACUAUUCCUUCUACCUCAUCCUGCCGAACCCUGAAAAUUGCUUCUCUCUGCCCAGGAGGCUGUAAGCGUCUGCCAAAGAAGUUUUAACAGUAGGAUAUUCAGAUCGUGGACUACAAAAUGGUCACUCAGCUCUUAGAUACCCCUGUAAAGGAGAAUUUGGGCCUUCACAACAGGCUAAGGGAUCGUUUCUUUGGGUUAGUGUCAACCUGAAAAAGAAAAGGUCCCGGGGAACUCCAAUUUGGAAAAUUCUGGCUUUAGCUCACAUUUUCCCAGCUGUCUUACUCUGGAACUUUCUUACUCCUUGCCAUGUAGGACCCACAACAAAAGCCCUGUUGGGAUCUGGUGAAGCUGAGGCCUUCAGUCUUCUUGUCCUGGACCCCUUAGCUCCUGCAGCUCCUGCAGCCAAGGUGGCCCUGUGUGUGGGUCCUGGGGACUCAUAGUCCUCACCUGGCCACCCUGGGCAGCCUGUCCUCAAAAUGAGAAGGCUGGUGGGCAAGGCUUCCCAUGUUAUUGAGGAAAGAAAUACGACCUAGAAACCUUUCUAUAAAAAUAACCUCCUGGCUCCUCCUUUAUGGGUGAGGGAAAGUGCUUAAAAUGCUUAGAGGGAAUAAACAGCUUUUAAUGAAGUUACAUUGCCACAUAAUGGGUAUCAUAAAAUUGCCUUCAUACUACAGGGUCCCAGGAUGGCAUUUAUUAUCGACUGUGCCGGAACAGUCUUUGCAGAGCUCCAGCAGCUGCAGAGAGAAGAAUGCAAAAGUCUCCUUAAAUUAUCUGAUUGAAAUAACCGGUGGAAUAUUCCGCGGGGCCACCGCGUGCCAGGGAAGCCGCCUUUGGGGUGGUCUGUCAGAGGCGGUUUGCACAUUCUGAAGAACACAGGAGUUUCAUUGCAGCAAAACAGAUGUUCAUCUUGUUUCUCCAUCGGCUGUUUGAUGAGAAAUUUAUUGCUCUUCCGCUGGGCAGGAGGCCCCUCUCGGCUGUGGAGUCUAUUAGACAAGCCAGCAGCUGGCAGGAAGCCAAGGUGAGGCUGUUUUGAUGAAACCCAUGAAAAGCUUUGGCUUCAAGGCGCCGGUAAUAAUGCACUGGCUAGACUCUCCUGAUUGGGCGAUUGAUUGGCCUGAUUUGAUUUAUUGAUCAAUACCCUCAAAUUUGGCGUCUGAGAAGCUGCACUAAUCUUUAACUGUUGUGAACAUCUCUGCCUGCUGGAGAAUGAGCCCCUGAUAAGGAAUGUAUGAAAGGAAUCGGGGCUUAUCUUAAUCACACACUGGGCCCCGGCACUGCCCGAGCUGGCGAGGGCCUCCGCGCGCCAGCCCCAUCCCGGGCAGGCCUGUGCAGAUCUAUAAAUUGAUGGAAUUCAAAGCCUCCAGCAUCGAUUACCGUUAUAACAAACAGUGGUGCACAGAAUGUCUGAUUAUUUUUAGACAAAGAUUCUGUUCUCUCAGCAGCAAUUUUGCUGAGGCUGUCACUGACUCAGAUGUCUACUGUUGAUUGCAAUUAGAUGCGAUACAAAAAAAAAAUUAAACUCUCCACAUCCUUACUCUUAUUUCCAGUUAUUAAAUCUCUCUCUUUGUUUGCUGUUUCCUCAUGAUAUCUACAGCUGGAUGAAAUAUUCAGUUUGCAGGAGAAAUCCCUGGAAUCCAGUGGGACGGCGGUGGCCGAUCGCUCACUGGAUUAUGUCUGAUGGGGCGCACCUAAUCUUAGGGGGAGGGGAGCCCAAUGACGGUGCAUCCGGAGGUCCAUUUAAAAGUGUCUGAGGGGAAGGCUUGGGCAGGAAGGUUUCCGGGCAGGCUCAGGGAUAAAAAUCAAUCUCCAAAUCCCUCCCAAUGCCUCUGAUGCAUUUAGUCUCUUUUCCCAUGCAUAUGGGGCAGGUCCUAACCAGGGAUGUGCCCCACCCCAAGGGCCUUGGAGGUUAUCCAAAGCCAUCAGAGCUCAAAGGUUGGCGCCACUUGAAAUAAUUAAUUCCUCCAAACCCAGACGGUGCUCCGGACCCCUUCCACACUAAAUCAUAACCUGAAGAGCAGGCUCCAGGUAAUUGUGGGGACAAACAAAUUAGGCAUUCCCUUUUACACGCAGUCUGGCGGCCAGCAUCUUGGCAUUGGGCGAGUCCAUUCAUCAUCCUGAUGCUCUCCAGUUGAUCUGUCUUCUCAGAGCCAUUAGCCCCAGAGUCCUUGACGGUGGAACAGCUGUAAACUUGAGACCGUCGGUGGGGUGGCCAAGACUGACAAUUCAUUACACAGUUGGAUGGAGAAGAAGGCUCAGGUGACAAUGCCAAGGCCUUCCAGUUCCCAGGCGCCAGAUCUGCAUGGAAUUGGCAACUGCCAGCUAAUUUUAGAAUGCUGAGAACUGGGGGUCCGGAAGGAGGGGGUGGCUGCUCUGACUUUGGGGUCAGACAAAUGGGUCCUGCAGAAAUUGGCUGCACUCAGAAAGCCACCGAUCACCAAGGGGAGCAUGGGCAAGGUCAUCUUCUGGUGGGCUCGGGACACUGGUUCCUGAGCCAGCCCGGGGUCAGACAUUCAAACACCCCAGGAAGGACGCUACUCAGGAUGAGUGGAGCAGACUCCAAGGCUUCCGAGGGCAGGUGAGAGCAGGGUGGAUCUGUUCAGUGAUCACCAGGGUAACUCCUGCCAUUUGUUCAUCAUCAGUUACUCCAGGUCCGAAGGCCUACGCCUCCUACUGUCCAUUUACCCUCAGAGGGUGGGAAGAUCCCGAAACUGAGGCUCUGGGAGAGGCCUGGCCAAGGUCACACAGCAAAGAAGUGGUGACACUGGAAUUCAGAUUCAUUUGGCUCAAUCAGUAUUUGCUGAAGAGAUGAAUGAAUGACGCAGAGGCUUCCAGUGGGGACUCCUGGAUAGCCAAGGUUGAAAAGACCUCCAGGCAGGCCCAGCAUUUGAGCUGCUAGGGCAGCUCCUGCUUCAUCCUCAUGGCGCAGAGCUAUGCCCAGGCCCCAGCACCCUCAGUGAGAAGAACCAGUUUGAUGUCACCAGGAAGCUCCAUCAGAGAACACAUCAGGGUCUGACCGUAGGGAGGAGCAAUACUGGGGUCUCAGGAAGCAGAGUGAACUCACUGGUCCCCUGGCCGGGACAGACACCCUCAGCCAGAUAGCACUGCAGUUGAUAGUUUAAACCCUGAAGUCAGACUGACCUUGGUUCGAAUCCCAGGGUCAUCAUGCUCUUAGUUCUUUGUGACCUUGGACAAGUGAUGAGCUUAUCUGGGCUUUUCCCUCUCAAGGUGACUGUGAGGACAUAGCGAAGUGACGCACAUCACAGUGCCUGGCACAUGUUUAAUGGUGCAGUCCUUGUGGUCUAGGGGAUGUGGGGACACUCUGCACCCCCUGGCGGACAGUUGUGACUAACAAAUGCAUUUGGCUCAGAAUUCCAAGCCAGGGCAAACAGUCAUCCAAUAACCUCUCUGAAGUCACAGAGCAAGUGACCGGCCAACUCACCGUCUUAUCACCCACUGUCACCCUUUUCUGGACAUAUUGUCUGUGUCACUCCCCUCUUUCCCUGUCACAUCCUUGAUGUCCAGCCUGCUUAGGACAGGUGGUCCCGGCACGCUGUGGGGAGGGCAGCAAUCCCCCACAGGUGGGUGGGGCAAGCUGGCAACAUCUAUCACAUUUACAAAUGUGCUUGCCCCAUGACUGGCCCUGCCUCGUCUAAGAACUUACCUUUUAGGUACAUUUGUCUUUUUAGAUAUGUGGUACCAAAAUGAACGUCUCACAUUGAUGUGGCAUCAACAGUAAGAGCAAAGCCUUGCACUAACCAAAGUGUCCAUGAGUUGGGGAUUGGGCAUAACCUAAGUGUCCAUGAGGGGGCCCUGAUGCACAAAAUAAGGUGCAUCCACACCAAAUACUCUGCGCUUGUAGAGAGGGAAAGAGAUGCUCUUUAUGUCCUAAUGAAAAGAGGCAGAUACGGUCAAUCCUCUGAAAAUGGCACAUUGUAUAACACAGUGUGUAAUAUGCUCUGGGUAAAACGAAAGGAAAAAAGGGAAAUGGGUAUGUAUUUGCUUGGAUAUUUAUGGAAUAUCUUCGGAAGGACACAAACAUGCUGGACACCUCUGGAGAAAGGAAUUUUAAUGUUAAAUCCUAUCUCAGUAAAAUGUUACUCUUUUUUUUAAAAAAAAUGAUAUAAUGGAAAGAGCUUGGACUCUUGGAGUCAAAUAUGGAAGCAAAUACUGACUCUAUUACUUACUGGCUGGGUGAUCCUUGAUAAGCAACACCAACUCUUUGUGCCUCGGGUUUGGGGGUUUCUUUUGUGGAUUUUCGUCAUUUGUUUGUUUUUGUUUUGUGGUACAGGGUCUUGUGCUGCUAGGCAAAUGCUUUACCACUGAGCUACAUCCUCAACCCUCUUCAAUUUUAUUUUGAGACAAGGUCUCGCCAAGUGGCCCAGGCUGACCUCAAACUUGAGAUCCUCCUGCCUCAGCCUCCCUGUCAGUUGUGAUUGCAGGUAUUCACCAAUGCAUCCAGCUUUGCCUCCGUUUUGAUGCCUAUAAAAUCAUGACAAUGUGGGGAGUGGCAGGUGUCUGAGAUAUGCAUCAACCAUAGUUAUCGGUGGUUAUUGUCUCCAGCCCCAGGCUGAAAGGAGGGGCUGUUUAUGUCAGCACUGGGCGCAGAGUCCUUCCCAGGGGUGCCCAAGCCCUAGCCUGUGGGCAGGGUCCUGAGGAUGAAGGCAGCUCCCUUAGCCUCUCAAGAGACAUGACACUCACUCAGAGCAGCCCCUGACCCCAUUAGCCUGGAAGGCUCAGUGACAGAUCCUCCCCAGAGCUCAGCUCCCAGAGGUUGAAGUUCCUGUAAUGAGACUCAGUUCCCAGCUCGGCCAAGAGGGUCAUGGUGGGGGCUCUGUACGUGGAGCUGCUGAUGUGAGGUAGGAAUGUCAGGCAGCUGUUCUCUCUCCUUGUCUCAUCUUCUCUCCUGAUCUCCUCUGCCCAUCUCUUCCUCCCUCCCUCUCUCUGAAUUCCUCCUUCCCUCUUGGUUCUUCUGCCUUUCUACUCCCUCUGCACCUCUCUCCCAUAGACCUUCUUCUCAGAACCUAAGCACUUACCGGGGCUUCCUAGAAGCUGUGAACCUUAAGCUGAGACCAGAAUGAAUUAGACAAUGAGGUGGUAGCUAGCAAGGGAGCAGUCCAGACAGUGAGGACUGCAUGUGCAAAGGUCCUGAGGUUGGGUGGGACUGCAAGCUGAGUAUUCACUUCACACCCAGAGACUCCAUGCAGCAAACCUCCUGCUGUACACAGGGUAGGAAGGAUGGAGCAUGGAGCCAGAAGUCCUCGGAUUUGCUUUCCAUGCCCACUGCCUGCCAGCUGUGUGACUUUGUGUGACCUUCCCAGUCUGAGGCUCUGCUUUCUCCUUGUGGAGAUGGUGAUGGUGUAAACCUGAGAGGGUCACUGUACACAGCAGUAUUCGUAAAUGUGCUGAGCGCAUGCUGGUGCUCGCCAGGGUUCUGCUCUUUGUAACCUUGUUGGGCUCCCUGAUGCACUGUGCCCCCGGCUAGGAAUCCCUGUCGUAUGGGCAGCUGGCGGGAGGCUCUGAACCUGCAUCUCAUCCGUUCUUCCUUGGAACCCAGGCCUGCGCAGAUGUGGCCCGAAUGCUCCUGCUGCCUCGGGGGCUUGCGUUUGCUGUGCCCUUUCAGUAAAAGGCUCCUCCCCGACAUAGCUGUGUGCCUUGACUGGCUGCCCCCUGUAGGCCUUUACCAAAAGUCCCCCUUCACCAGGCAUAAUGGCUCACAUCUGUCAUCCUAGCUGCUGUGGAAACUGAUGCAGGAGGAUCACAAGUUCAAGGCCAGCCUGAGCAAUUUAAGAAGAGCCUAUCUCAAAGUAAAAUUUAGAAAGGGAUGGGAAGUAGCUCAGUGGUGGAGCACUUACACACAGCCGCCCUGGGUUCACUCCCUAGUACCAAAAGGAAAAAAGGAAGUUCCCUCCUCAGAGGCCUGCCCUGGCUGUGUCCUCUGAAGCCCUCCCACCCCUUCCCUCACCUCUCCUGGCCCCUUCCCUGCUUGAUCUUUCUCCCUCCCUGUGUCCCUGCUUAAAAGCAUUCGGUAACCCCCCACUGCUCAGCAGAGAUCUUUGUGGCCCUGGGGUAUCCUUGGGGCCUGCCACCCCCACGUGAAGAUGUAUGACGGGCCCUGUAUGCUCAUGACAGGCUGCUGGGUUAUCCGAGGCAGCAGUCAGUGACACCCGUCCCUGCAGAGCUCUGGUGGAAGUGGCUUCCCCAGCCCCCUCCCAGGGACUGCAGACAGACUGGCCCGUGGCUGCUUCCUCACCACUGGCUUCGGCUCACAGAUGUCCAUCUCAGGGGCAGGGGUGGUGGAGACCAGAGCAGGCCUGGGAUCCUGGCCAUGACCUGGUGCAAGUCACGCCCCCUGGCUGCAUGUAGGAAAUUGAUAGAGUCACAUCCAUCUGCCUCUGGCUGCUGACUACAGGGCUGCUAGUCUUUGGGACUGGCUCAGGGGCUGACAGGCCAUUGUGGUCAAAAGCUUGGGUAGUGGAACCAGGCUGCCUGGGUUCGAUUCCAGCUUUGCUCUUUGCUUGCAGUGUGCCCUGGGGCAGGUAAGUUGACCUCUGUGCUUUAGCUUCCUUGCUAGAGUGGGAAGCGUGACUAAGGACUGUGAUGAGGAUGAAGGGUGUUCAUGUGUGCACAGGUGCUCGGUCUGUGUUUGGUGGAACAAGCAGGUGUAGUUGGGGGCCCUUGUCUGUGGCUUCUGUGUAAAUGCUGUCCCAGACUUGAGGCUAGUUCCUCCACGGGCCUUGCCAGGCUGCCAAAUGGCUAUGGCACAGUUUUCUCUUUCCUUUCCAUUGAUUACCAUUUGGUUAUGGCGGGUGCAGUUGGCACAGGUAGGCAAAUGCAGCCUUGGGUCCUCCCCUCCAUUCACCAGGCUUUGGACCAGUGCGUUGGUUCCCCCGCACCCUCCAAAGUGACCAGGGAAGCUGUUUCUUGAUAUCAUCGUGAACUCUUGGAUUUAAAUCUCUGGUGGAUUCAGUCCCUUGCAGUCACUGUCCUUGAAGCUCAAGUCCCUGCCCCCCUUGCCUGUAGGAUCCCCUUUAAAUCAACACCUGUGGCCUUAACCUUGACCAAGUCCCCUUGAGGGAGGUGGGCAGUACAGGUGAUAACAAGGUGAAGCUCCAUGAGGCCUCAGGACCUGCUUUGGAUGCUGUGAGUCAUGGUGACAACCUAGAAUUAGAUGCUUGAUGUAGAAGAAAUAAAGGAGAAGCCAGGCAUGCAUAGGCCUAGGCACAGUGUCUGAUCCUGCCCACUUUCUGGCAACAUACCAAGCCCCUCUAAACUUCAAUUUAUCCAUCUAUAAAAUGGAGUUAAGCCAGGCAUAGUGGUGCAAGUCUAUAAUCCAGGCUGCUCCAGAGGCUGAGGCAGGAGGAUCGCCAGUUUGAGGUCAGCCUGGGCAACUUAGCAAGAACUAUCUCAAAAUAAAAUAAAAAGGGCUGAGGGUGUAGCUCAUUGAUAGGGUGCACAAGCUCAGUCUCCAAAAUGACAAAACAUUUUAAAAGGAGAUUAAUAACAUUGACAACCUGGGAUAUGUGAUAGUUUAAAUGACAUCAUUGUGUAAAGUCUUUGGCACAGGGCCUUGUACCCAGCCAGCAGUCGGUGAGUGGCAACAGUAUUAUCCUCAGGAUUAUUAUCAUCAGGACUCAGUAAGACACCAACCCACAGAGAGCUGUGUGGGACCCAGUGCUCCCUCCUUUCUUCCCUUCCCAAGGGUCUCCAGACUCUCCCCUCCUUCAGUGUUGGAAUGGGGUUUCUCAAAGGACAAAGUCAGAGACCUCACCCACUUUCUAAUGAAUCUUUCAAGCUGGAUGCUGUUCAGAGAAAGAAACCUAAUUUUUUACUAGGUUUUACUUUGUCAUCUGACCUUCUAGGCCAGCUCAACAUUUCCAGGGUUGCUGGGCCUCUGAAAGCCAUUUGUAAGCCUUUAUAGGUGACCCCCAGCCCCAGCCCCUCAAUCUUUCUUUGGUCACAUCACUUCCACUUCCACGACAGAGCUGUCCCCUGGCUCAAGUCAGUGACGGGUGGGUCAGACAGAGGCCUGGCUGCCAGUCACCUCAUAACCCAAAAGCCAUCAAUCCAGUGUUUUUACUGAGUCAUUUUGAUUUUAAAGUUGGCCUUUCUGUUUCACUUUCUUACCUGCCCUCAAGAACAUAUUUUCAAAAACCCUAAGUGAGCCAGCCAGGCUGUGGCUCAGCCAUUAAAAUCGAUGAGAGCCGAGCAUCACCUGAUGGAGGUGCUCUGGAACGCUUUGCAAAUACAUCUUUUGGCUCUGGAGCCCACCUCUUGCCUUGUUCAUUCAGCAGGCAUUUAAUGAACACCUACUGCACACACAUUCCUGAAUGGGUGUUCUCCCUCAAUUGAUAGUUACUACCAUAGUAUCCACGGCAUCAGGAAUAAAGAACAGAAGUAAUGGAGGAGACGGAAGAGGAUGGAGGAGAAUAGAGAAGUGCUGGGGCAGGAAGGGCCAGCUCUGCCUUGUGCCCAAGGAAGCAGGCACUGAGUGCCAGGUGUCUUCAUAGGCCUGAGACACAAUAGAAGAGACACAGAUCCUACCAUCAGCCUUGAGUGGGGGAGACUGCAUAAGACAGACAGAUCUGGACAGCCUGCAGAAUGCUGUGAAGGAAGCCACCAGGCUGAGAGAAUAAGAACAGGAUCUCCUGCAGUAUGGAUGGUGAAGAAGGCCUGGAGGAUCCAGUUACAGGGACGAGAGAUCAAGCAAGGGGCAGCAACAGGUGCAAAGGCCCUGAAGUGGCUAAGAAAGUCAGAGUGGCUGUAACCCGGAGACCAGGAGAGUGUGAGGGAGAGAAGUGGGCAGAGCCUGACCACACUCCCCUUGCUGACCCAGGUGAAGACAUGAGAUUUCAGCCUCAAGAGUGGCAGGGUAGCACCUUUCUUUGUCAUGACAGAGUUUUUAGGCCAUGCAGUGAUGGCUUCUGAUUCAUGUCUGUGAAUGCACAGCAGGAGGACGGGGAGAGACUGUUGCACCAGUCCAAGCAAUGAUGGGAGUGUGGGGCAGUGGAUAUGAUACAUAUGGGCACAUUCAAGGGAAUUUUGGUUAGAGGAAAGUUUCCCCUCCCACCCCCUGGAACAUUCAGAAAAAUGCCCAGAUCAAAGGGCACAGCUCAGCAAAUGGCCACACCAAACACACCAGCCCUGAGACCAAGCUGCCCCGUCAGCCAGAAACGUCUCUUGGACCCUCUGCAGUCUAUGUCCUCGAAGACAGAACCACGAUCCUGACUUCUCUGGCCAGUGUCCAUGCCUCACGUGAAUGAAAUCUUACAGUGUGUUUCCUUUUGCAUCUAGCUUCUUGCUCAACAUUACGUGUGUAAGAUUUAUCAAUAUUGCUUCUUGUUGUAGUUCAUUCAUGCCCGAGGCUGCGCUGUAGUAUUCCGUGGGGUGAAUACAUCACAGAGUUAUUUAUCCAUUCUAUGUUAAUGGGCAUUUGGGUUGAUUCCAGUCGGGUGCUAUUAUGAAUGGUGCUUCUGUGAACAUUCCAGACCGGCGCUUCUCAAACUUUAAUGUACACAUGAAUCACCUAGAGAGCUUGUUAAAAUACAGAUCCAGAUGCCAGAGGUAGGGGAGGGGCCUGAGCUUUUACAUUUAUAGAAAGUUCUCGGGUGAUGCUGGUGCUGCUCACCCACAGGUGUACUUUGCAAAGUAAGACUUUAUUUUGGUGGAUUCAUGUCUCUGGGGCAGGUACCCAGCAGGGGACAUGCUGGAGCGUAGAGACACAUGUUCCCUUUAACAGACUCCACUGACACCUCCUCCAGCACUAUCUGAGGUUCUGGUUGCCUCUCGUCCUUGUCAGCCCUUAGUACUGUCUACCUUUCUCUGUGACCAUUCUGGUGGGUAGGCAGCCGCUUCUCAUGGUGGUCUGAACUUGGCCUUCUCUGAUGGCAGUGAGGUUCAGCAUCUUUUCCUGUGCCCACUGCCCAUUGGGUUCCUCAUUGGUGUGGCACUGGUCCAGUCUCUUGCCCGCUUUGAAGUUGUUUCUCUCUUUCUAACCGAACUUUUAGGAGUUCUCAAUUGUGGACACACUCCUUUAUCAGAAAAACUGCAUAUCCCUUCUCCCUCCCACACUGUGGCCUUUGCACUGUUAUUUCACCUGUUCUUUUAAAUUCAGCAAUCACUGCUGGGGGUGGGGAGGGGACAGUGAUUCUCUUUUGCUGUUCUAACCAGCUUACAGGGUGUCACCGGAAGGAUCAUUCUAUUGGUUUCUUACCCUGUCUACUGGCACUCUCAUCCACUUAACUGUGAGCUCCUUUGACCUUUUCCCGCCUCCUGAUGGUUUUGACUACCAGAUGAGUCCAUCUUUCCUGGGCAUCCAGAGAGGUGCCUGGGAUUGGUAGCAGAUCAACAGACCCCUUGUGGCUUGCAGAGAUAACAUUAGAAGGUGGUGGGUCCCAGCCCCACAGCCCAGAGGGGUGAAGCCAAGAGGGGCAGGUGGGGAGUCUGCCUCCCUCCCUGUGUGACUCCCGUGAGUCUCCUGUGAGCCCGACUUCGUUCUCAUCAGAUCAAGAACCUACACCAUCGUGCUUGCUGAGCGCCGGGCUUUGAAUCUGGGUGUGCAUGGGGCCCUGCAGUCCAGGCCUCUCCUCUCACCCACUCCCACCACGUUCUCCUAGAUGCUGGUCUCUAACCUUUCAUUUCUGGCUCAGCAGGGCUGCGAGGGUCCCCAGAACCCCCUGAGCACAGCUCACCAGCUCACAGACCUUGCACACCAGGAGCAUCCUACUGUCCCCGAUCCCCAGGAGACACCACUCCCCACUGGCACCCAUUGAGGACAAGCAGUGGAGGGGCGGAGCUGGAGCCUCCAAAGCUGGCCAUGCAGUGAUUGCUCACCUGUCAGCCCGUUUCCCCAGCCAUCGAUAAAGACCAUCGAUAAUGGUGGUACUCAACUUCAACUCAGAGCUGUUGGGGAACUGGCAAAAGUAACAUGUAAAGCACUGAGAAUGCGCCUGACCCGGAGUGAUCAUGAUGCAGCGCCCUGCUAUAACCAUUGCUAUUUCGAUUGUGACUCUUAGGGUGCCCAGCCCCCUUGCUCACAUUCUUUCUUCCCUCAAAUCUAAGAUCCCUGUGCCUUUCCUCACCUGCCAGCCUUUGGAUUUGCUGAUCCUGUGGCCUAGAGUGUGCUUUUCCCAUUCUCUUCCUGGAGACCCCCUCUUCAUGCCCCAAAGCCAGCACCUCCCCCCUUCAGGCACCCCUGCUGACCUCCUAGGUGGGGUACAGGUGCCCCAAGCUUGCCUGGGAGGUGCAUGGCUAGGCCUUAGGUUGUGGUGUGGAGAGCAGGACAGGGUCUCACAGUGCUGUUCAUAGAAGAGUGUUUACUGGGCACUUACCAUGUGCCGGCUCUCUGGCGAGGGCUUUUCAGUGAGAACCUCAUUUGGUUCCCCCACAUGACCACUGGUGACAGACACUCACCCCACUGACCACACUUCCCCAUCAGGACCCCAGGGAGGGGAAUGCAGCUUGGUCUGGGAUACAGAGCAGGACCAAGAAGCAUCGGUCAUGUCAACAGCUCUCAGGGUGGGUCAGUCACCCUCCCAAGGGUCCCCGAGUCCUUUUCAGGGAUUCCACAAGAUCAGAUUCCUUUUACAACAUAGUAAGCUGUGGUCUGCCCUCUUCACUCGUAGACUCUCAUGAAUAUAUGGUGCGAUUUUCCAAAAGCCUCACGAGGUGCAAUGAUGUCACCACUGAGGGCUAAUGGAGUGUGUGCUUGUGUCUUCUUGUGCUUCAAGAAUUUCUGUUUUAAUUUUCAGUGCGGUAAACAUCGAUUGCUCUAAUCUAUAUGGAUAGUGCUCUUUGGGGGCCUCAGUCAUUUCUAAGUAGGUAAAAGGGUCCUAAGACCAAAAAAAGAAAAAAUUGAGAGCUACUACAUUCAGUGACUAGGAAGGAAAGAAGGGAGAGUGUUCAGCGCUUGGACUCUGUGCAAGGGACAGUGGUUUGGAUGGAAUCCUAAGGCCCACAGGGGAGGAGAAGCUCUGGAGUCCCGGAGAGGCUGGCCUGGCAUUACUCAAAUCCCAUUGCCCCACUAUCCUUGAGCCCACAGAACUGCCCAGAAGCCUUUGACCCAGCGCAGGCGGACACAGCACCACCAACGGCCGGCUGCUCCAAGGUGUUUUCUACAGCAGAACAAUUUGAAAUAAUUAGAACUUUACAAAAUGUCUUUAAACACGCUGGUCAUGGGCAUAAGAAAACACUUGUGAAGUGUAAUCAGUUAUUAGCAGCUGAUCAAUUAUCCCCAUGGAUAGCUGUUGAAGGGGGAGAGGAGAAGCAAUAAUAAGCCCCUUGAUUAACUAAUUUGAAUAUCUUUGGAGAACAAAUUCCGAAAUUUCUUUCUAUUUUCUCAUGCUAUUGUAACGGGCUGCACAUCUGCUGGUAAGGCAAGAUGGAAAUGGUAAUGAGCACUGUGCUGUGAACGGGCUUCUUGUUUGGGAUCCAGGGAGGAGGCCCCGGGGGUUGUGGCCAACCAGCCGGGCCUGGGGACCUCAUGCUGGCUGGAAGGUGGGAAUGGGUGGCUGCGAUUAGCCCUGCCGUGCUAUGCAGCUUGCCAUCUGCCUCCCAGUGGAGUGUCAAGGUCAGAGAAGGUCAGGGGAGCAAGUUCCCGCAGGCUGAACGAGGGCUGAGGUGGGCAGCGCCCUCUGGGAAGCAGCACCGAUUCUCCUGAAGGCCCACCGGGGCCAGCUGGGGCUGGGGCAGUCCCAGGGUAGAGCAGACAGCUCGAGAGACCUAUGUUCUGGUCUCCUGUCAGCCUUGGGCUCCUCCUGAACCUCCCUAGGUGACAAGUUUAUACAAGGCAAGCGGAACAGGUCUGCACAAUGGUAAGGGCUCCCUUGUCCCCAGAGGUCUCUGGUUCCCAUAGGGAGGCAUGGGCACCUCACCCCAGUGGCCACCUCUCUUGCCAUCUUCUUGUGGUUAGAUCGAGAACCGGGUGCCAGGCACGCUGACUCACAGCCAGGUCUGCCACCUCAGCUGUGUGACUUUAGGCCAGUGACUUAAUCUCUCUGCGCUCAGCAUACUCAUCUGUAAACGGGUAAAACACCACUCACCUUGUGGGCCUCUUGGUAGCACAGGUCCACGCGUACUGUAAGCACGAUAAAAAUGUGAGUGGUAGUCGUUGUUAUUCUCUACCCCAUGUAAUUAACAGGCUAGACUGGAGUUUGCAAACUGGCAGGCCAGGGUCCAAAUCCCCCAAUAAAUCUGUUUGGUUUGGCACAAACUGCAUUGUUAGGUUUCUCUCUGAAUUAGUUGCCAAUAUUAAAAUUUGGGAGAUUUUCACAUUUUAAAAAACCUGGAUUUGGGGCUUUUCUGAGAAUCAGACUCCUGCAUAUACACUGGGCCCACAGACCAAGGUGGUGUCAAUGGGCCAGAUGUUCAGUUGAGCAUCUGAACCCCCUAUUAUGGGGCGAUUGUCACCCUGAGCCUUCAUCCCAUGCCAUCACCAGCUGGGCCCCUGUAGUCUCCUUCCUCUAAGCCUCUUGAGGUCAGCUGGGGACAGGUGGGCCGUGUUCCUGAUGUGCCUGGCACCUGUCACAUAGUAGGCACCUACUUACACUUAAAAGAGUGUGCAUUGCCAUUAGAGUCUCACGUAAUGCAGCAGGUCUAUUUAAUGAGGACCCUCAGCACCUGAGGAAGGGUGGCAAACUCCAGCCUCGAUUGUGUCUACUUGGGGUCUCCCAGUUCCCCAGCUCUCCUACCACCCAGUGGCCAUUAGAAGACAAUCUCAUUUUCCACCCUCUUCAUCUCCCUCUGUCUAGUCCUCCCCUCCCCUCUAUAGAUGUCCUAGAGACCCACACACAGUGGGGUCCAGUCGACCACCCUGGGACCUGGUCUGAGGCCCAAAGCACCAGAAAAAGCCACCGAUGGCCCCAGGACUUGCAGCCACUGCUCCCUGUUCAUUUCAUUCAAACACAAGCCUUUUUAAAUUUUUAGUUUGAAGGUAUUUUUUAAAAAUCUGAAACUACCUUUAAAAUCCCUCCUUUUCCCUCCCCUGACUAUUCCUUUGCUUAAAAAUGGCAUAACCGAUUUGGGUUAUUUUUAGAAAAAUGCCUGGCAUGUUGGCUGACAACCUGUAUUCUAAGUUUCAACCUGAUAGGGAAAAGACAGAGUUUAUAAACCUCUAGGGGGGAAAAGAAAAUACACAAAACAUUGCUUUGGAAUAGAAAUCAUUUGAAACUCACCCCAUAUGUCUCAGCCCCUGCGGUGUAACUGGGCACCAGCCACCAGCUUGAGAUUUCAAGGUUAGGGAGUGGAAUUUGUUCUGCUGAGCUUCCAUGCACAUUGCUGGGAGAAUGGGACACAGCAUCUGCAGCCUGAGAGAGGCAAGGUAGACGGGCAUGGGUUUGAGCCCUACUUCACUGUACUCUGUGUCAGUGAGCUGGAGAAAGAAGCACCUUCUCCGAGGCUUCGGUUUUGCUCUUUGGGAUGCGGGGAUGCCAUGACAGACGGGUGCCCAGUGACCUGGCCAUGACGUUGGUGAUUGUCAUGAUGCCACAAUCCACAGACAAGAACUCUGGAAACAAAACUUGGGCAAGCUUUGUGAAUAUGAGAGGCUGCUGAGCAUAGCUUGCCAACUUGAUUUGAGUAUUUUUGAACACCUUUAUUGAAGCAUGAUUUGCAUACUAUGAAAUUCACCAGCAGUACAUGGACAGUACAGUGGUUUUUAGUGUAUGGAUGAAGUUGUGCCACCAUCCCCACAAUCUACUUUUAGACAUUUCCAUCACCUUCUAAAAAGAUCUUCCGUGUCAAUUUACAGUCCCUUUUCAAUUCCACUCCCAGCGCCUGGCAACCACAAAUCUCCUUUCUGCCUUGGUGGAUUUACCUUUCCUGGUCAUUUAGUAUAAAUGGACUCUGCAGCCUGUGGUCUUCUGUACCAAGUUCUGUGCUUAGAAUCGCACUCCCCGGGUUCACUCAUGUUGUCAGGUGUCUGCGUAUUUUGUUCUUUUUAUUGCUAAACGAUAUCCUGAUGUAUGACUAGACCACAUUUUAUCCAUUCAUCAGCUGAUGGACAUUUGGGUUGUUUUCGCUCUUUGGCCAUUGUGACUAGAGCUGCUGUGAACAAUUUGUGUGCAGAUGUUUGUGUGAACAUGUUUCCAAUUCUCUUGGGUAGAGAAGUGGAAACCUGGGUCAUAGGGCACACUGAUGUUUAACUCGUGAAGGAACUACAAAACUGUUUUCCAAAGUGACUGUGCUGCUUUGCAUUCCUCUGGCAGUGCCUGGGUGUGAUAGUGUCUGUCUUCACUGAAAUUUGAGUGUGUGUUUUUGGUCCUUGAUUUCAAUGAGGGUUUGGGCUGGGAAUUCUAGGAGCAAUAGAGCUUGAAGAGGGGACAGGCAAGGGAGAGGGCACAGGACAUGGGUCAAAGCCACAUGUCCUUAGAUGCCCUGAAAUGGCACCAUCCUACGGAACUUUUAUGAUGAUGUAAGCAGUGUGUAUCUUAACUUCCAAUAUGGUAGCCACAGCAACUGUGAUUAUUGAGCACUUGAACUAUAUGACAUAUGGGAGGAACUGAAUUUGUGAUUGUAUUUUACUUGAGCUCUUUUUUUAAGACAGGGUCUUACUAUGUUGCCCAGGUUGGCCUGGAGCUCUUGGGAGUCUCCUGCCUCAGCCUCCUGAGAAGGUAGGGCUACAGGCAUGGCCCAGCACCCAGCCCACUUAAGUUCACUUUGAUGUUUUAAAUGUAAAUAACCAUAUGGUGACCUUAUUGGGUGGCUCCAUUCUAGAAGCUCAGGGUCACGGCUCAGUGGGUUCUACACCUUUGAGGAUUGGUCAGAGUUCCAUUCUCGUGAUCAUAGACAGCUGG
Molecule: long non-coding RNA, 74466 nt
Filed under: Heterocephalus glaber (naked mole-rat)
Lineage: Eukaryota; Metazoa; Chordata; Mammalia; Rodentia; Bathyergidae
Description: lncRNA (ENSHGLG00100043231.1)
Source: RNAcentral